RNAcentral lists this long non-coding RNA (46187 nucleotides) under Eucalyptus grandis. Its description in RNAcentral is "long non-coding RNA (EGRA_LNC005210)". The record is from RNAcentral. Lineage: Eukaryota; Viridiplantae; Streptophyta; Magnoliopsida; Myrtales; Myrtaceae.
AAUCACACAAUAAAAACCUUUCACCCAAAGGCUCCAAGGUAGAGCCAAAGUGAAAACAGAAUAUACAAUAGAGACAUUCCACUCACAUUAUUAUAUCAUAACUCAUAAAGAAUAUUGAGAAUAGCAUUUAAGCACAAACAUCAGGAUUGGCCACAAGGUACUCCUCAAUAGCCUUGUACAAUCCCAUAGCUCUGUCUUUACCCUUCUUGAUAUCGUCCUCCUUGAGCUCACAACCCUCUUGGACGUGGUACUCGCUAGUCAUCUUGCAGACACAUCCACUACCAGCAGCAACGAAUUUCACAUCUUCCACGACCAAGUCAAUCUUGUCAAAUUUUAUAUCACUUUCAAUCAUAGUAUAUUUGCAGUAAAAGCUACCAGCAUCAAGAGCAUCGAUCUUGUGCUUGAUGUACUUGAUGUGGGAGCCUGUUAUGGAAAUUCAUUAAAGCGAAGAAGUUAGUUAUUAAUUGUAAGGUCUAUAUAUAGACUUGACAUGGUAGAAGUAUGAGUAUGAUUUGACUUACUUUCACCGAAGUUGGUUUGCUUGAUGCUACCAACUCCACCAUCUCCCUCGAUGAACUCAAUGCUCUUGAUGCCCUCGGGAACAAUCUUGGGUAGCAUAUUCUGUGAGUCAAGGAACAAAGCCUUGAACAUCCUUGACGGUGCAACAACACUUGUGAUCUCUUGCGAAUAGGUGAUGACGCCCAUGUUGGCCUUGUAAGAGACAAAGAGAACAGAACUCAAGAGGGGGUGGUGGAAAGGUUCGGUGUGAUUGCUAAAGGAGAAGGCUUGAGCUGAUGAAGCUGAUGAAGAUGAUGAAGAGAACUCCUUGGUACUUAUAGCCAAAGUCCAUCGUUUAUUAUUCCGUCAUUCAAGGUCAAAGCUCGCCGAAUUGGACCCAGCCGAAUUGCUUUCCAGCCUUUCUUUUUUUUUCUUAUUGGCCGGAGCCACCGAUCAUCUGGAAGGUCACGAAAAAGGACAAUUCACGGUCAAAGCUCUUUUGUCUGGCCAUUAUAUAAAUUUUCGCAAACGUUGUGGGCCCAUCACGAUAGUCUAUAGACUCUAUACUUGGUAUUCCACUUCUCUAGAAAAAGUAAUUCAAAUGGAAUAUUUUGGACGUAAAGUUAAUCAUCCAUUUUCGUAAAGAAAGCGUAAAAUAAGCGAGUCUAGAUAAAUUAAUCUCUUUCUCACCUCUAAAUUGCCUGCAUAAAAUAUUUGUCAAAAAUUGAAUUUUUUAUACCAUAAACUCAUUCAGACACAAAUUUUAGGCUUAAUAUCAUAUGGCCAUGACCACCUUUGCUAAAGCAUAACUCUAUGUUCGUUGGUUGUGCUACCAAGGACAGAUGCAGAAAUAAGUUUAGGAGCUGAUUCCCUUGGGGAAAGGACAGACUUCUAGCUACGACCAUCAAAUAAAUGUCUAAUUUUUAAUAUAGAUGGUGCAUGAAAAGAUAACAAAUGAGCUAUAGGUAUUUUGCAUGAUCGACUAGUGGCUAAGUAGUCCAACCUUGGACCAAAAAAUAAAAACGUUGGAACUCGUCGAUGGAAGUGUAAGCAGCAGCUCUUAUUCUCGCAUGCAUUUAUGCUCAGUCCCUCGGCAUCAGAAAAGACUGAUUGCGAUGUCUUAAUUAAUGUCUCCCUUUCAUCACAAAUUCUUACUUCCUACUUCAACACAAUACGGGCUGGAGUUAGGCUUGGGCCCAUGAACCUAAUAAUGGAGCUACUCAUGCGCUUCCAAAUUGGGCAUUCAAUCAAAUAGGAGCUACCUUUUCUUUUUUACAAACUCCUAUCUAAGUUAAAAAUAUUAUAUUAGUAGUCUUCUUUGAUUUAUUAUUUUAAUUCGGGUAUCGCAUCCUGAAUGUAAUGAAAAGUUAUUUCUAGGGGGAAAAAAGGGACAUUGGCGGAGCCCUUUUUUAUCCUUUUUAUCAACUAGAUCCGAUUUAUUGUGCUUCUGAUUUGUUUAUUAUUAUUAUUCUGGAUAUUGUGCUUCUGUUUACGAAAGGCCAGUUUUUGCUAGUUUGACUUUAAAUUGCCAUUGUAGCUAAGUCAUAAUAUCGAAAUGACCGUACCCAAAACUCCCUACGGAAAACUUAGGUUAUCUCACAAAGGCACAUGUCCCUAUCAUGACCAUUCUUCCACUUCUUUUAAUAUUUUUCUACCUAUUAUUUUUCUUUUGUGGUAGUUAAAUUUUCUCCCUUUUAUUCAGGAAACAACGGUUGCCUUCCAUGAUUUUCAAAGAAGAACACUAUAGCUUAAUUAAUCCAUGUUAAGUUGUUUAAUUAUGAUUAAUACAAUUAGUGGAAAAUUUUUAUUUCUUAUAAAUCAAAUUGGAUAAAAAAAAAAAAACAGGGUCCCACUGUAUUCUCAUCAAAAGCAGAAUGAUUAUGUAACCAAAUGUUGUAGAUUAUAGAGUCAAAGCGAAUUCUUUGUAAAAAAAUUGCCAAUCUAUCCAAGACUACAUGUUCAUCUUUAGGUGAUGCCACCCAUCUUUGCCUUGAAACGAACUCGAGUAGGAAAUGGAAGGAUCUGGUUUGGUGUGAUAGAAGAAGGCUUUAGCUGAUGAAGAUGAUGAAGAGAAAUCUAUAGUACUUACAACCAUGGCAAGUCCAGAGUUCAGCACUCCAUCAUCAUCAUUCAAAGUACAAAGCACUCCCAAUUGGACCGGGCGACCUACUUUCAAGCCUUUCUUGUUUUCCUUUUGGGAAGAACCAAUCCAGAAGGUUAGGAAAGGACAAAUCACGAUUAAAAGCUCUUUUGUCUGGCCCCGAUUUGCCUGGAUACGAUCUUUCUCGUGAAGAAAAUUGAAUUUUCAUGCUAUGAACUGAUUUAGACACAGAUUUAAGCUUAUAACAGACAACCAUGACCACCAUUGCUAAGAUAUGAUUCUACGUUCGUUCGUUGCGCCAUCAGGGAUGGCCGCAGAGCGCUUUUGCUUUCUUUCCCUUUUCUUUUCGCUUUUGCUCUGUUUCCGAAGGGCAAUUUUGCUAGUUUGACUUUUCAAAUGCCUUUGAUAGCUACGUCCUCGGAUCCAAAUGACCGUACUCUAAAUUUGGAUCAACCCAUCAAAUUUUUUGCUAAGUUCUUUUCUACCUUUUAUUUUAUUUUAUUGUUUCUAGCCAAAUUUUCUCCAUUUUGUUUGGCAGGAUGGAUUUAAUUAGGUAAACAAUCUCAAUGUUUGCUUUCAGGAUUUGCGAAGAAGCAUACUACAGCUUAAUUUAUCAAUUUUAAGUUGCAUAGUUUUGAUGAAUACAAUUAGUGGAAAAAAAAUUAACAAAUCAAAUUGGAUUAAUUCAUUUUUCCCUCAAUCUCUUCUUUUUGCAACUGAUCCAUAAGUCAAGUCAAAAUUCACCUUCAUGACCACAAAGGAAGAUCUUUUCUUGGGUAAAACCCAUAAUUUAUUGGAUUGUUCAUUGCUCCUUCAAUUUUUUUGGCAUGGCCUUACACACAACCAUCAAAUCCCUUUACACUGUAGAAAUCACACAAUAAAACCUUUUCACCCAAAGGCUCCAAGGCAGAGCCAAUGUGAAAACAAAAGAUACAAUAGAGACAUUUCACUCGCUUUGCUAUAUCAUAAUUCAAAACGGAUCUUCAACAUAGCAUUUAGGCACAAACAUCGGGAUUGGCCACAAGGUACUCCUCAAUAGCCUUGUACAAUCCCAUAGCUCUAUCUUUACCCUUCUUGAUAUCCUCCUCCUUGAGCUCACAACCCUCUUGGACGUGGUACUCGCUGGUCAUCUUGCAGACACAUCCACUUCCAGCCGCAACGAAUUUCACAUCUUCCACGACCAAGUCAAUCUUGUCAAAUUUUAUAUCACUUUCAAUCAUAGUAUAUUUGCAGUAAAAGCUGCUAGCGUCAAGAGCAUCGAUCUUGUGCUUGAUGUACUUGAUGUGGGAGCCUGUUAUGCAAAUUCAUUAAAGCGAAGAAGUUAGUUAUUAAUUCUAAGGUCUAUAUAUAGACUUGACAUCGUAGAAGUAUGAGAAUGAUCUAACUUACUUUCACCGAAGUUGGUUUGCUUGAUGCUACCAACUCCACCAUCUCCCUCAAUGAACUCAAUGCUCUUGAUGCCCUCGGGAACAAUCUUGGGCAGCAUAUUCUGUGAGUCAAGGAACAAAGCCUUGAACAUCCUUGACGGUGCAACGACACUUGUGAUCUCUUGCGAAUAGGUGAUGACACCCAUGUUGGCCUUGUAAGAGAUAAAGAGAACUGAACUCAAGACGGGGUGGUGGAAAGGUUCGGUGUGAUUGCUAAAGGAGAAGGCUUGAGCUGAUGAAGAUGAUGAAGCGAACUCCUCGGUACUUGUAGGCAACGUCCAUCGUUUAUUAUUCCAUCAUUCAAGGUCAAAGCACGCCGAAUUGGACCCAGCCAAAUUGCUUUCCAGCCUUUCUUUCUUUUUUUCUUAUUGGCUGGAGCCACCGAUCACGUGGAUGGUUAGGAAAAAGGACAAAUCACGGUCAAAGCUCUUUUGUCUGGCCAUUAUUAUAAAAUUUUCGCGGACAUUGUAGGCCCAUCACGAUACUCUAUACUUGGUAUUCCACCUCUCUAGAAAAAAUAAUUCAAAUAGAAUAUUUUGGUCAUAAUGUUAAAUCAUCCAUUUUCGUCGGAGCGAAAGCGUAAAAUAGAUGAGUCUAUAUAAGUUAGUCUCUUUCUUAGCUCCAAAUUGCCUGGAUAUAAUAUUUGUCAAAAAAAAAUAUCAAAUUUUUUAUAUCAUGAACUCAUUCAAACACAAAUUUUAAGCUUAAUAUCAUAUGGCCAUGACCACCUUUGCUAAGGCAUUACUCUAUGUUCGUUGGUUGAGCUAUCAAGGACUGACGCAGAAUUAAGUUGAGGAGCUGAUUCCCUUGGGGAAAGGACAGACUUCUGGCUGCGACUAUCAAAUAAAUGUCCAAUUUUUAAUGUAGAUGGUGUAUGAAAGGAUAACAAAUGAGCUAUGGGUAUUUUGCAUGAUCGACAAGUGGCUAAGUAGUCCAACCUUCGACAAAAAGAAAAAGAAAAAGAAACAUUGGAACUCGUUGAUGGAAGUGUAAGCAGCAGCUCUUAUUCUCGCAUGCAUUUAUGCUCAGUCCCUCGGCAUCAGAAAAGACUGAUUGCAAUGUCUUAAUUAAUGUCUCCCUUUCAUCGCAAAUUCUUACUUCCUACUUCAACACAAUAUGGGUUGGAGUUAGGCUUGGACCAUGAACCUAAUAAUGGAGCUACUCAUGCGCUUCCAAAUUGGGCAUUCAAUCAAAUAGGAGCUACCUUUUCUCUUUUACAAACUCCUAUCUAAGUUAAAAAUAUUAUAUUAGUAUUCUUCUUUAAUUUAUUAUUCUAAUGCGGGUAUCACAUCUUGAAUGUAAUGAAAAGUUAUUUCUAGGGGGAAAAAAGGGACAUUGGCGGAGCUUUUUUUUUUUUUUAUCAAAGUGGAUCCGAUUUAUUGUGCUUCUGAUUUGUUUAUUAUUAUUAUUCUGGAUAUUGUGCUUCUGUUUAUAAAAGGCCAGUUUGCUAGUUUGAUUUCAAUUGCCAUUGUAGCUAAGUUAUGGAAUCGAAAUGACCGUACCCAAAACUCCGUACCCAAAACUUAGGUUACCUCACAGAGGCAAAUGUCCCUAUCAUGACCGUUCUUCUACUUCUUUUAAUUUUUUUCUACCUGUUAUUUUUCUUUUGUGGUAGUUAAAUUUUCUCCCUUUUAUUUGGGAAACAUUGCUUGCCUUCCGUGAUUUUCAAAGAAGAACACUAUAGCUUAAUUAAUCCAUGUUAAGUUUUUUAACUAUGAUUAAUACAGUUAGUGGAAAAAAUUUAUUUCUUAUAACUCAAAUUGGAUAAAAAAAUACAGAGUCCCAAUGUAUUCUCAUCAAAAGCAAAAUGAUUCACUACCACUUCUUUUAUUUUCUAGAUUGCCAGAUUAUACCAUCAUUGUCCCAUUAAAUUGCAUUUCUUUUCAUCCGAUGACAAUCUUUCUCAAUUAGGGAAUGUAUAAUGAAAUGCGCAUCCUUUUGCCCUCUAUCUCUGCUUUAUGCAACUCAUCUAGAAGUCAAGUGAAAAUUCACCUUCAUGAUUACAAAGGGAGCUAUUUGAAAAAAAGUCAUGGACAUUUUCCUUUUAUAAAAUUAGAUAGAGUCAACUGAGAGACCUAAUUGUACCGAUUUGAUGAAUUUAAUAUUUGAUUGCCUUUUAAUAGGUUUUUUAAUUCAAUUGUAUUUUCUGAUCAAAAGAAAAAGUGAGAUAGAUGUGUUUAGGGAAAAUUUGGGCAUUUCAAUACACAUUUCUUUAUUAGAACCAUCUUGCCAAAUAAAAUGGAUAAAUUUGGCCAAAUAAAAAUAAAAUAAAUUGGAGAAAAUUUGACUGGCCAAAGUAAGGUAGCAGCCUGCCAGGCAGUUAUCUAAUGGUGAUCUUUGUUUUGCCGAUAAGUCUCCAUCUAAGAAAAAAUAAAAAUAAAAAUAAAAAGUAGAAAAGAACUUAGCAGAAUGUUACAAAAGAAAAACAACGUCGCCCAAGAGAGAGUUUGGGUGCGUUUGUCUUUGUGGAUUAGAAAGAGAGAACUCUGUGGAUGAGAGAGAAAGAGAACUGCCUCUUGCUUGGAAACUUUCAUGUGUGAAGGGAAAUUUUUAUGGACUUUGACUCUCACGCCAUGAGACCGCGAUGCUAGCACUAUUCUAAUCAAAGUAUAGACGACAGUCAUUUGGAUUCAAUGACGUGGCUAUAAUGGCCUUUGAAAAGUCAAACUAGCAAACUUGCCUUUCGAGAAUGGAAGGACGAUAUAUCUGAUAUCAAGCGUAAAAUUCAUGUCAACAUCAGUUUUAAUUAUUUUUUUUAAAUCAACUUUUUCUUUGCGGAAAGGACCUUGUCUAAUCAAAUCGGACCAAAAAGGGACUAACUCAUCUAAACUCGUCCAUUUCAUGUUAUGAUUCUGGUGGAGUCAGAGCUUCAUAAUUAGGCUCACCAGCUCUGCAAUCACCUCUCGUACACAGAUUAGUUUAUAAAAGAAAAGUACAUUUAUUACAUACAUUGAUGUCAAAGAUUGACAAUCCGCAAUCGUUUUUCUCAUUUUCUUACUAAUCCAUAAAAUCCACUUUUUAUUAACGAAGAGAAAAAGAAUUUCAUUUUUGAUAAAAUGACUUUUUUAAAAUUAAGUUAUUCCACAAGAAGAAAAUAAAGGGUCGUUAAAUUUCAAGUUUAUAGUUUCACAACAAAAAUUAGAAGAUUGACUUCACAUUUGGAAUUGCACAAACAAAAAGUUAUUUAUCUUAAAGAGGUGAUAAAUAAGAAGACACAAAUAAUGAUAAAUAAAAACUAAGAUGUGAACAAAGCAAGAUUUUACGGGCCAAAAAUAAAAAAGAAGCGAGAUUUGAAAGAAAGUAAAAGAGCAAUAAAAGGUCAAUUCCAAUAAUCCAGCAGUUGUAUAUAAUAAUUUUCUUUCGGUUUGAUAAUGAUAUCCACGUUCCACUCUUCUAGAUGACGGACAGCGCCGCUGAAUAAGAAAAGAAGAAAGGCUUAAAUCAAGGCCGACUAGUCUAACUCGGUGUGCUUUGAACUUUGGAAGGUGAUGGGAUACUAACCAAUGACUUGCUUAUAAGUACCAAGUAGUUCUCUUCAUCAUCUUCAUCAGCUCGAGCCCUCUCCAUUAGCAAUCACGCCAAACCCUUCCACUACCCCUCUUUAGUUCAGUUCUCUUUGUUUCUCACAAGGCAAACAUGGGAAUCGUCACCUACUCGAUGGAGAUCACAAGUGCUGUCGCACCGUUGAGGAUGUUCAAGGCUUUAUUCCUUGAGUCCCACGAUAUCCUACCGAAGAUUGUUCCCGAGGGCAUCAAAAGCAUUGAGUUCAUUGAGGGAGAUGGCGGAGUUGGUAGCAUCAAGAAAACCAACUUCGGUGAAAGUAAGUCGGAUCAUACUUGUACUUCUAUCAUGUGAAGUCUAUAUAUAAACCUCAAGAUUAAGGAUUAAUUUCUUUGCUUUAAUGAAUUUACACAAUAGGCUCACACAUCAAGUACACGAAGCACAAGAUCGAGGCUCUCGAUGCAGAUAGCUUUUACUGCAAAUAUACUAUGAUCGAAAGUGAUAUCAAGUUUGACAAGAUCGACUUUGUCACGGAAGAAGUGAAAUUCAUCGCGGCUAGUAGUGGAUGUGUUUGUAAGAUGACCAGCGAGUACCACAUUCAGGAAGGUUGUGAGCUGAAGGAGGAGGACAUCAAGAAGGGAAAAGACAGAGCUAUGGGAUUGUACAAGACUGUUGAGGAGUACCUUGUGGCCAACCCUAAUGUUUGCGCCUAAAUGCUUUUUUCAAGAUCCUUUUUGAGUUAUGAUAUAGCAAAGUGAGUGGAAAGUUUGUAUUGUAUCUUCUGUUUCCCCUUUGGUUGUGCCUCGGAGCUUUUGGGUGAGGAAAGUUUAUAAUGGGAUUUUUAUGUUAUAAAGGGUUUGAUGGUUGUGUGUAAGGCCACGCCAAAAAUAAAACUUGAAGGAGCAAUGAGCAAUCCAAUAAAUUAUGGAUUUUGCCCAAGAAGAGAUCUCCCUUUAUGGCCAUGAAGGUGAAUUUUCACUAGCCUCAUAGAUGAGUUGCAUAAAGAAGAGAUAAGAGGGCAAAAAGAAGUGCAAGGGAAAAUUGGGCAUUUCAUUAUCCAUUUCCUAAGCUUUAUAGAUUGUCAUCAGGUGAAAAGAAAUGGAAUUUAAUGGGACAAUAAAAAAAAAAUAUCCAUUUCCACAUCUCGCCUAGAUCCAGUCAUUUCGAUUUGAUGAAAAUAAAUGCAUUUCCUAAGCGAGAGCAUUUCAUUAGAGUAUAGUCAUUUCGUUUCAAUGACUUAGCUAUAGUGGCCUUUGAAAUGUGAAACUAGGAAAAUUGUCUUUCGAAACAGAAGUACAUUAAAAAGGAUCCACUUUGAAUUUUUUUUUUAAUAAAAAAUAGUGCAUUGAAAGUCCUUAAACUUGUCAUUGAAGUGCAACUAAGUUUUAAUACUUUUAAAAAGUAUAAUUACGUCCUAAAAUUUAUCAAAUUAGUCCAAUCAAAUCUCUCCGUUGAUUACAUUUUUGAAAGUUUUAGGGAUUGAUUACAUUUUUGUAAUAAAUUUUAGAAUUUGAUUACACAUUUUGAAAGUUUUACGACUUGACUAUACUUUUAUUAUAAGUGUUAUGAUUUAAUUGCACUUUUUGAAAGUUUUAAGACUCAAAAUAUACUUUGGUGACAAGUUUUAGGACUUUCAAUAAAUUUAUCUCUAAAAAAAUAGCGCUCCUCUAUUGUCUUUUUUUUUUUUUUUUCCCUAGAUGCAAAACCUACAUUAUUAGGUUUAACGGUUGAAGCCUAACUCCAACCCGGAUUGUGUUAAAAUAGGAAGCAGGAAUCUAUGAUGAAAGGUCAAAUACUCUGAGGGCAAAGAACUUUUUGUUGGAUUACAUCAAUUAAGACAUUACAAUCGGUUUUAAACAUUUCUUUUUAGAUGCCAAGAGACUGAGCAUAAUUGCAGGCAAGAAGAAGAGUAGCUGCUCACACCUCCCCUUCCAACGCUCUCUUCAUGUCCCAGCUUUGACUACUAAGCCGCUAGCUGAUCAUGUAAUAAUACCUGCGGCUCCUUUGUUAUCUUUUCAUGCACCAUCUUCAUUAAAUUUUAGCCCCUGAUCUGACGGUGAGAGCGAGGAAUCUGUCAUCUUCCCAACAGAAUCGGCUCCUAAACUUCUUUCUGCAGCUGUCCUCGACAGCGCAACGAAUGAACAUAGAAUUAUGCCUUAGUAAAGGUGGUCAUGGCUGUCUGAUAUCAAGUCUAAAAUCCGUGCCUGAAUGAGUUCAUGAUAUAAAAAAAUUCAAUUUUUUUUCAAUAAAGAUUGUAUUAAGGCAAUUCGGAGCUGAAUAAAGGGAUUAACUUAUCUAGACUUGCCUAUUUUACUUUUUUGUUCUGAUAACGGAUAAUUCACAUUAUGACCAAAAUAUUUGAUUUGAAUUACUUUUUCUAGAGAGGUGGCAUACUCGGUAUGGAAUAUGGAAUAUUGUAUUGGGCUCACAGUGUCUGCAAAUGAAUGUGUAAUUUUUUAUUAAUUGUAACAAAUUUAUAAUAAUGGCCAGACAAAAGAGCUUUGAUCGAGAUUUGCCUUUUUCUUCACCUUCCAGAUAAUUGGUGGCUCCUCCCGAUAAGAAAACAAGAAAGGCUGGAAAGUAAUUCGGCUCAGUCCAAUUCGGAGUGAUCGGAACUUUGAUUGAUGAUGGAGUACUAAGCCUUGGACUUUGCUAAGUGCCAAGUAGUUCUCUUCCUUGUCUUCAUCAGCUCAAGGCUUCUCCAUUAGCAAUCAUACCAAACCCUUCCACCACCGUUCUUAAGUUCCGUUCUCUUUGUCACCUACUCGAUGGAGAUCACAAGUGCCGUCACACCGUCGAGGAUGUUCAAGGCUUUAGUCCUUGACUCCCACAACAUCCUACCCAAGAUUGCUCCCGAGGGCAUCAAAAGUGUGGAGUUCAUCGAGGGAGAAGGCAGAGUUGGUAGCAUCGAGCAAACCAACUUUGGUGAAAGUAAGUUAGAUCAUGCUCAUACUUCUACCGUAGCAAGUCUAUAUAUAGACCUCAGAAUUAUGAAUUAACUUAUUCAUUUUGAUGAAUUAACAUAAUAGGCUCCCACAUCAAGUACAUGAAACACAAGAUAGAGGCUCUCAAGGCAGGUAGCUUUUACUGCAAAUAUACUAUGAUCGAAAGCGAUAUCAAGUUCGACAAGAUUGACUUCAUUGUGGAAUAAGUGAAAUUUGUCGCAACAAAUAGCAGAUACGUUUGUAAGAGGACCAGCGAGUACCACAUUCAGGAAGGUUGUGAGCUAAAGGAGGAGGAUAUCAAGAAAGGUAAAGACAAAGUUAUGGGAUUGUACAAGGCUGUUGAGGAAUACCUCAUGGCCAACCCUGAUGUUUGCGCCCAAAUGCUUUUCUCAAGAUCCUUUUGGAGUUAAGACAAAGUAAAGUGAGUGGAAAGUUUGUAGUGAAUUUUUUGUUUCCCCUUCGUGGCUCUGCCUUGGAGCCUUUGGGUGAGAAAAGGUUUUUAUGGUGUGAUUUCUAUGUUAUAAAGGGUCGGAUGUUUGUGUGUAAGGCCAUGCAAAAAAUUAGAACUUGAAGGAGGAAUGAGCAAUCCAAUAAAUUAUGGAUUUUGCCCAAGCAAUCCACUUCCAGCCGCAACGAAUUUCACAUCUUCCACGACCAAGUCAAUCUUGUCAAAUUUGAUAUCACUUUCAAUCAUAAUAUAUUUGCAGUAAAAGCUGCCAGCGUCAAGAGCAUCGAUCUUGUGCUUGAUGUACUUGAUGUGGGAGCUUGUUAUGCAAAUUCAUUAAAGCGAAGAAGUUAGUUAUUAAUUCUAAGGUCUAUAUAUAGACUUGACAUGGUAGAAGUAUGAGUAUGAUCUGACUUACUGAAGUUGGUUUGCUUGAUGCUACCAACUCCACCAUCUCCCUCGAUGAACUCAAUGCUCUUGAUGCCCUCGGGAACAAUCUUGGGUAGCAUAUUCUGUGAGUCAAGGAACAAAACCUGAACAUCUUGACGGUGCAACGACACUUGUGAUCUUUUGCGAAUAGGUGAUGACACCCAUGUUGGCCUUGUAAGAGAUAAAGAGAACUGAACUCAAGAGGGGGUGGUGGAAGGGUUUGGUGUGAUUGCUAAAGGAGAAGGCUUGAGCUGAUAAAGAUGAUGAAGAGAACUCCUCGGUACUUAUAGGCGAAGUCCAUUGUUUAGUAUUCCAUCAUUCAAGGUCAAAGCACGCCGAAUUGGACCCAGCCGAAUUGCUUUCCAGCCUUUCUAUUUUUCUUAUUGGCUGGAGCCACCGAUCACGGGGAAGGUUAGGCUAAAGGACAAAUCACGGUCAAAGCUCUUUUGUCUGGCCAUUAUUAUAAUUUUUCGCAGACAUUAUGGGCCCAUCACGAGACUCUAUUCCACCUCUCUAGAAAAAGUAAUUCAAAUAGAUAUUUGUCAUAUGUAAUCAUCCGUUUUCAUCAGAGCAAAAGCGUAAAAUAGAUGAGUCUAGAUAAGUUAAUCUCUUUCUCAGCUCCAAAUUGUCUGGAUAUAAUCUUUGUCAAAAAAUAAAAAAUUAAAUAACGAGGGAAGGAAAAAAGUAUACGGAACGAGAAGUGAAGGCGGGGGCAGGUUUUUCCUCCCUCUGGAAAGUUUUUCGCUUUUCUUUUUCCCUUCUCUCUCGUCAUAGGCAAAUUCCUGCCGGUAAGAAUGUGGAGAAGAACAGACAGGCUCAAAGACCGGAAUAAGGACAUCCACUCGCCCUAAACAAAUGAAUAAGGUUGGAGAGGGCUUUCGCUCUCGACCGCGGGCCUCCCCUGGAAAGAUCCAAACCUUCCUCUUCGGAGCGGAAACGGACGUGGCCAAAACAUAUAAAGAUCGGCGUAGUCGCUCUUAAUGUUGAAUCUUCCACCCCUGAACGGUGAACAAACCAAUCUACUUCUUCCGGAUCACCCUCGGAUCGCUCACUCCAUACGAUCUAAUCGUGAACUCAUUCAUACACAAAUUUUAAACUUAAUACCAAACAGCCAUAACCACAUUUGUUAAGGCAUAAUUCUAUGUUCGUUGGUUGAGCUAUCAAGGACAGACGCAGAAAUAAGUUGAGGCGCUAAUUCCCUUGGGGAAAGGACAGACUUCUGGCUGUGACCGUCAAAUAAAUGUCCAAUUUUUAACUUAGAUGGUGCAUGAAAGGAUAACAAAUAAGCUAUGGGUAUUUUGCAUGAUUGACUAGUGGCUAAGUAGUCCAACAUUGGACAAAAAAAAAAAGAAUGUUGGAACUCGUUGAUGGAAGUGCAAGCAGCAGCUCUUAUUCUCGCAUGCAUUUAUGCUCAGUCCCUCGGCAUCAGAAAAGACUGAUUGCGAUGUCUUAAUUAAUGUCUCCAUUUCAUCGCAAAUUCUUAGGCAGAAGAACAGUCCAAGUGCCAUAACUUGGUAUGGGAGGACACUUAAGUGCCAUAACUUCAAAAUGGUAUACUUGAGUGCCAGUUUCGAAGUUAAAUGGAACACUUAAGUACCACUCCGGCGAAAAUCCGGCCAAAUGACUGACGUGGCAAUUUUCCGGCGAGUUUGGUCCAAAAUGACGUUAUUUUGCACGCUGGUGUGGCGAGAAAAUGCAAAAACAGCACUGUUUCGUGUUUGACAUGUAAAUAAUAAUAUAAAAACUAAUAAAUUAGAUUUAAACUUAAUUUUAUUUAAAAUAUUCUAAAAAUAAAAAAAGGGGUGGGGGGGAGGGAGGUCGAAGGGGGCGGCUGAGGGCUAAUCCCUCGCCNNNNNNNNNNNNNNNNNNNNNNNNNNNNNNNNNNNNNNNNNNNNNNNNNNNNNNNNNNNNNNNNNNNNNNNNNNNNNNNNNNNNNNNNNNNNNNNNNNNNNNNNNNNNNNNNNNNNNNNNNNNNNNNNNNNNNNNNNNNNNNNNNNNNNNNNNNNNNNNNNNNNNNNNNNNNNNNNNNNNNNNNNNNNNNNNNNNNNNNNNNNNNNNNNNNNNNNNNNNNNNNNNNNNNNNNNNNNNNNNNNNNNNNNNNNNNNNNNNNNNNNNNNNNNNNNNNNNNNNNNNNNNNNNNNNNNNNNNNNNNNNNNNNNNNNNNNNNNNNNNNNNNNNNNNNNNNNNNNNNNNNNNNNNNNNNNNNNNNNNNNNNNNNNNNNNNNNNNNNNNNNNNNNNNNNNNNNNNNNNNNNNNNNNNNNNNNNNNNNNNNNNNNNNNNNNNNNNNNNNNNNNNNNNNNNNNNNNNNNNNNNNNNNNNNNNNNNNNNNNNNNNNNNNNNNNNNNNNNNNNNNNNNNNNNNNNNNNNNNNNNNNNNNNNNNNNNNNNNNNNNNNNNNNNNNNNNNNNNNNNNNNNNNNNNNNNNNNNNNNNNNNNNNNNNNNNNNNNNNNNNNNNNNNNNNNNNNNNNNNNNNNNNNNNNNNNNNNNNNNNNNNNNNNNNNNNNNNNNNNNNNNNNNNNNNNNNNNNNNNNNNNNNNNNNNNNNNNNNNNNNNNNNNNNNNNNNNNNNNNNNNNNNNNNNNNNNNNNNNNNNNNNNNNNNNNNNNNNNNNNNNNNNNNNNNNNNNNNNNNNNNNNNNNNNNNNNNNNNNNNNNNNNNNNNNNNNNNNNNNNNNNNNNNNNNNNNNNNNNNNNNNNNNNNNNNNNNNNNNNNNNNNNNNNNNNNNNNNNNNNNNNNNNNNNNNNNNNNNNNNNNNNNNNNNNNNNNNNNNNNNNNNNNNNNNNNNNNNNNNNNNNNNNNNNNNNNNNNNNNNNNNNNNNNNNNNNNNNNNNNNNNNNNNNNNNNNNNNNNNNNNNNNNNNNNNNNNNNNNNNNNNNNNNNNNNNNNNNNNNNNNNNNNNNNNNNNNNNNNNNNNNNNNNNNNNNNNNNNNNNNNNNNNNNNNNNNNNNNNNNNNNNNNNNNNNNNNNNNNNNNNNNNNNNNNNNNNNNNNNNNNNNNNNNNNNNNNNNNNNNNNNNNNNNNNNNNNNNNNNNNNNNNNNNNNNNNNNNNNNNNNNNNNNNNNNNNNNNNNNNNNNNNNNNNNNNNNNNNNNNNNNNNNNNNNNNNNNNNNNNNNNNNNNNNNNNNNNNNNNNNNNNNNNNNNNNNNNNNNNNNNNNNNNNNNNNNNNNNNNNNNNNNNNNNNNNNNNNNNNNNNNNNNNNNNNNNNNNNNNNNNNNNNNNNNNNNNNNNNNNNNNNNNNNNNNNNNNNNNNNNNNNNNNNNNNNNNNNNNNNNNNNNNNNNNNNNNNNNNNNNNNNNNNNNNNNNNNNNNNNNNNNNNNNNNNNNNNNNNNNNNNNNNNNNNNNNNNNNNNNNNNNNNNNNNNNNNNNNNNNNNNNNNNNNNNNNNNNNNNNNNNNNNNNNNNNNNNNNNNNNNNNNNNNNNNNNNNNNNNNNNNNNNNNNNNNNNNNNNNNNNNNNNNNNNNNNNNNNNNNNNNNNNNNNNNNNNNNNNNNNNNNNNNNNNNNNNNNNNNNNNNNNNNNNNNNNNNNNNNNACGUUCGCUGAUAGAGACCGCCGCCGGUCGGCCGAGGGUCGGUGACCCCAACGAACCCUCCCCUCUCUGUCGCCGGCCCUUCCCAGCGAGGGGUCAGCCCUCAGCCGCCCCCUUCGAUCUCCCCUCUUUUUUUUUUCUUAAAUUUUUUUAAUUUUUAGAAUAUUUUAAAUAAAAUUAAGUUUAAAUCUAAUUUAAUUAGUUUUUAUAUUAUUAUUUACACAUUAAACACGAAACGGCAUCAUUUUUGUAUUUUAUCGCCAGGUCAGCGUGCAAAACGACGUCAUUUUGCACUAAACUUGCUGGAAAAUUGCCACGCCAGUCAUUUGACCAGGUUUUCGCCGAAGUGGCACUUUAAGUGUUCCAUUUAACUUCGAAACUGGCACUCAAGUGUACUAUUUUAAAGUUAUGGCACUUAAAUAUCCUCCCGUGCCAAGUUAUGGCACUCCAAGUGUCCCAAACUCCAAAUUCUUACUUCCUACUUCAACACAAUACGAGUUGGAGUAAGGCUUGGGCACAUGAACCUAAUAAUGGAGCUACUCAUGCGCUUCCAAAUCGGGCAUUCAAUCAAAUAGGUGCUACCUUUUCUUUUUUACAAACUCCUAUCUAAGUUAAAAAUAUUAUAUUAGUAGUCUUCUUUAAUUUAUUAUUCUAAUGCAGGUAUCGCAUCCUGAAUGUAAUGAAAAGUUAUUUCUUGGGGGAGAAAAGGGACAUUGGCGGAGCGCUUUUCUAUUUUUUUUUUUUUUUUUUAUCAAAGUGGAUCCUAUUUAUUGUGCUUCUGAGUUGUUUAUUAUUAUUAUUCUGGAUAUUGUGCUUCUGUUUACAAAAGGCCAGUUUGCUAGUUUGACUUUUCAAUUGCCACUCUAGCUAAGUCAUGGAAUCGAAAUGACCGUACCGAAAACUUAGGUUACCUCACAUAGGCAAAUGUCCCUAUCAUGAACGUUCUUCUACAUCUUUUAAAUUUUUUCUACCUGUUAUUUUUCUUUUGUGGUAGUUAAAUUUUCUCCCUUUUAUUUGGGAAACAAUGCUUGCCUUCCAUGAUUUUCAAAGAAGAACACUAUAGCUUAAUUAAUCCAUGUUAAGUUGUUCAAUUAUGAUUAAUACAGUUAAUGGAAAAUUUUUAUUUCUUAUAAAUCAAAUUGGAUAAAAAAAAUACAGAGUCCCAGUGUAUUCUCAUCAAAAGCAAAAUGAUUCACUACCACUUCUUUUAUUUUCUGGAUUGCUAGAUUAUACCAUCAUUGUCCCAUUAAAUUGCAUUUCUUUUCAUCUGACGACAAUCUAUCUUAGUUUGCGAAUGUAUAAUGAAAUGCGCAUCCUUUUGCCCUCUAUCUCUGCUUUAUGCAACUCAUCUAGAAGUCAAGUGAAAAUUCACCUUCAUGAUUACAAAGGGAGCUAUUUUCUUGGGCAAAAUCCAUAAUUUAUUGGAUUGCUCAUUCCUCCUUCAAGUUCUAUUUUUACGCAUGGCCUUACACACAACCAUCAAACCCCUAUAAACAUAGAAAUCACACCAUAAAAACCUUUCCUCACCCAAAGGCUCCGAGGCAGAGCCACAAAGGGGAAACAAAAGAUUCACUACGAGCUUUCCACUCACUUUACUUUGUCUUAACUCCAAAAGGAUCUCGAGAAAAGCAUUUAGAUGCAAACAUCAAAGUUGGCCACGAGGUACUCCUCAAUAGAGGUGUUAAAAUGGGUCUAAAAUGGGUUAUAAAAGGGUCACUUGUUUUUGACAAAAAGUAGUUAAAUGGGUUUCACAAUUAAAGGUUCAAGAUAGGUGGGUCUUAAGUGGGUUUUAAAUAGGUUGGGUGGAGAACCCAUUUUCAACAAAAACCUUAUAAUCUCUCUCUUCCCUCUUUAACUUUAUAAAAAUAUAUAUUUUUUUUGUAAAAAUCGAAAUUAUAGUUUUUUUUUAAAUUUUCUCUUUUCUUUUUCUUUCCUUUUUUUUUCUUUUUUUUUUCUUUCUCCUUCUUCCUUUCGAUCGCCGGCACGGCGAUGGCCGGCGACCGGCCAGGUGAGCCUCGAGCUCGCCGAAUCUGGCGAGGCGGAGGCCUUGCCGAUGCCCUGCGAGGCUCAAGCCUCGCCGAUCUAGUGAGAUUCGAGCUCGACAGUGUUAGGCGAGGCUCGAGCCUCGAUAGUUCUGGUGAGGGGCGAGCUUGAGCUCACUCAACACCGGUGAGGCUCAAGGCUCACCGUCGCUGGGCGAGCUCGAGCUCGCCAGAUCCGGCGAGCCUCAAGGCUUGCCGAUGCCAGGCGAGCUCAAGCUUGCUAGAUCCGACGAGCCUCGAGGCUCGCCUGUGGCUGAUCGCCAGUUGUCGUUGUGGCCGGCAGCCGGCCAAAGAAGAAGAAGAAGGAGAAGAAAGAAGAAAAGAAAAAAAAAGUAUAUUUAAAAAAUAAAAUAAAAUUAAUUAUAAAAUUAAUUUUUAAAAAAUAAAAAAAUAAUUAAAAUUCAAAUUUUUAAAAUAAUUAUUUUAAAAAUUAUAAAAAUUUUCCUUUAAAUUUGUGUUGUAUAAAACUAUUUUCGUAAUAUAAUUUUAAAAAUUGUCCAUUGAGAAAUAAGUUUGGAAGUAUUUUAGUAAUAUAAUCUUUAAAAAAAACAUAGAAAUAAGUUUUUCUAAAUUUGGUUAAAUAUGAAAAUAUUUUAUUAAUAUGGGUUAGGUCGGGUAUGGGUUGGGUCGGAUAUGGGUUAGAAAUUUUACAUUAUGCAUAAAUGGGUCAUAAAUGAGUUAAUGGGUCAAUUUGGGUUGGACCAUUAAUGAUCCGACCCAAACCCGACCCAACUCACCCGUUUAACGGCUCUAACCAUGAUGGCUCGACCGAGAUUUGGAGGAGGAGUUGCUCGGCCAUGGCUCGGUCGAGAUUUAGAGAAGGUUUAGCGCUCAGCUUUUCUGAAGCUUAAUGAUGAUUGGAGGAGGGAGUCACCGAGAUCUAAAGGUUGGCCAGGUCUAUUGUGGCCAUGGCUUCAUGGUUCCAAAUCUAGAUGCGGCCAAGUGAUCUUGGAAGGGGCGGAGAUGGUGGUCGGACGGGUGUUCUCUGUCAGGGAGGAAGAUGAAGAGAGAAAAAAAGAUUUUUAUUUUUUUAAUUCCACCUCAUCCAACACGUGUCAAUCUAUUAUUAUUAUUAUUAUUAUUAUUAUUAUUAUUAUUAUUAUUAUUAUUAUUAUUAUUAUUAUUAUUAUUAUUAUUUGUCAGUUCUACUCUAUGCCUACUCUACACUCACUCUCAGACUUUUGUCCUGCCUUUUGCAGAGCAUGGGAGUCGAAACUCACUCCUGAAACUUACUCAUCCCCACCCUAUCCUCCUGAGAAUGUGAGAAUUUGAACCCCUCACCUCCCAUUUUUUUGUUGGAAUGGUGGCCACUGGAGCGAAUCCCAGUGGUUGUCGAUCUAUUAUUGGAUAUAAAUAAAAAACGCGCACCACAUCAGCAAUUGACUUGGCGCUUUGGAACCACCGAAUAUUUUCUCCAACUCAAGGCUAUGUUUUUCCUCAUCCUUUUUUUUCGGUUUAAGGAGUGGUUGGUCCCACCGAGCCCGGGCCCACAAAGCCCAAGUUGGAUCCAGCCACUGUCCAGUGUCCACUCCCAUCUCCAAAAAAGCUCCUCAUAAUUGCGAUUAGCUCACUCGAAAUGACUAUAUUACCCCUGCAUGAAGUUUGCACUGCUCUCACGAUAGGGCAGGACUUUUCAGUAAAUUCCCCCUCUAUCUAGUCAUCUCUCUCUCCAUUCCUUCCUUCUUCGAGCUUCGAGCCUCCACCAGUUCGGAGCUACAUUCCUUCCUUCGCCUCCGAGAAUCGAACCUCCAUCUCUUCGCUCGCCGGCAAGCCGCAUUCCGGACCUCAGGCUCGUCGCUCGAGUCCAUCUCCGGCGGUGGGCGCCGGUGCCAGUGACCGAUGGAGACGGGGACGAUGGCGACCGCGGCGGGGGCGGCGGUGCUCCUGUGCUAUGUCAUCAAGAGGACGCUGGCCUCGAAGGGCAAGGACGACGCCGGGGACCGGGCCGCCAGGUGUUAGGGAAAUCCCUUAUGAUGUUUUGAAGAUGACAAAAUAAAUCAAAGGCUACUAACAUAUUUGAUGGUUGAGUAAUAGACCAUGCAGAUGUUAGAACAUGUAGAGGAUAUUAUCAAAGUCAUAAGAUGACCAGAAGACUGAACGUAACAUGUCCAAAAUAUAUUCUGAAGAUUUCCAGACUUCUAUGUCAAAGUCUGAAGACUGCCAGACUCAAGACUCAAAGUCUGAAGACUGCCAGACUCAAGACUCAAAGUCUGAAGACUGCUAGACUUUAGUGUCAAAGUCUGUUCUACAUUAGAAGUCUGCUCACUCUGAUAAAUUCCAGACUGAACGUGAAAGCUGAACCAGAAGACAGACUCUAUGCUGAAGCUGAACUGGGUACAGACCCAGAUUGUAAAGUCUAGAGACUCAGAUUGUAAAGUCUAGAGACUCAUAUUGUAAAGUCUACAGACUCAGACUUUACAUCCAGAUUCGAUGAAUCGUAACUCAAGCCCAAUCAUACAACGGCUAGUGAUCUGGUUUGGAUUCCACAUCAAGAUUAAUUUGAUUGAUUCAAUCUAAUUGAUUGACGAUUGGAUCUUGAAGACAAGAACUUUCUACACGAAGAAGCUUUACUUAUGGAAACCAAGAUUUCGUUUGUAUGGGCGAUCGGAAUCAAUUUGGGAUUUUACCUUUGUCACUCAACGGCUACCAAAUCUUCUUAGAUACAGAGCUGUUCAAUGGGUAUAUUGGAAGACGAUUCUCCGGGAUACUGUCCAACGAGUAGUUUGGAAGUGGAGGAGUAUUUAAGGAGAUCAUGGACCGAUGAGCAAGUAAGAGACGGAGCGUAGAAUUUAUAAUUCCAAAGUCUGAGCGACUUUUGAUCAUAUACUUGUCUCUUGAGAGCUUAAACGUUUGUAAUCGUGAGAGAAAUACCAAGAGAGUGACUUAGUGAGAUAGUGUGAUCUACUAAGUGUUUGCACUCGAAGUUGUAAUCUCUUGUUGAUUGCAUAUUGGAAUCCAGCCAAGAAGGCUGUUAUCGUGGGAGAGUGGACGUAGGCUUGGAUUAAGCCGAACCACUAUAAAUCUCGUGUUCUUAUUCUCUUCCCUAACUCCUUUAUUUUGUUCAUACUAGCACUCUCAAUUGGUAUCAGAGCCAAGUGCUCGGUUUAUAAAAGUGUUUUUACUUUUGAGCUAAAGAUUCUUUAUGGCUAGUAUAUUGGCACCAGGUCUUAUGGAAGGGCAAAGCAACACAAGGCCACCAUAUUUCGAUGGAAGAAAAUACAAGCAGAAUGGCCAGAAAAGAACAAUGAAAGAAGAUGAUGUGCAAAGAAAUAUAUGCUUGACGGCACAUUCAGAAUUUGAGUCUGACUCGGACACAGACUCAGAAUCAGAGUCUAACUCAAGCACAGACUCAGAAUCCGAUGAGGAAAUAAUGGAAAAGAAGAAGUUGGUAAUGAAUGUUUUUGGGCACAUUAUUCUCAUUAUACUUGAUAUUCGAUAUAUCCUUGAUUGAUUCAGAUUUUAUAAUGAUCAUAUUUUGUUUUAUUGAAGAAAGAAUCGCAUGAUUUGUUUUUGUGAUUCGAAAUUUAAUUUGAUACGUGUGAUCAUUUUUGAUAUCAUGCUUAAAGACAAAAUAAUUUAUUUGGUUUAUUUUUAUUCUCUCUGUUUUUAUCAUAUUAUGACUAAGUGAGAAUUUAUUUUUCAAAAUAUUAUUGUGCAUAAUAUUCUUUCUUUGAAUACCUUGUUAUGAUGAAUUAAGAAAGAAUAUUUGAUUAUGGAGAUUUUAUAUUUUACUCUAACGUCAAGGAAGGAUCCAAAUUGAUGGAUACCAAAAAGGGAAAUGAGUUGAUUGCAGGAAAUUCUUUAAGGGAAGGAUGAUUGCGAAUCUACGCAAAUUUUGGUGCAAUCAGAAAAUAUCUCCUGCGACAAUUGUGAUCGUUGCGGAUGUUGUUGCUACAAAGGAAAUAAUGGAAAAAAUAUUCUGCUCAACGUGCACAAGCAACAAUUCUAUUCGCAAAUAUUGUCAUGAUCACAGGGGGAGAAAGCAAAUCCAAAAGAAAAGGAAAAGAAUCGUGAUCAUCUCAAAAAGGCAACAAAUUGAGGGGGAGCAUUGAUCAAUUAUGGAAAAAUCUUUUUUGAUUGAUCGUGAUCUUGUUAUGAAAAGAAAAAAGGUACGUGCAUUUUAUGAUGCAUCCGUGAUUUUUAUUGGAUAUUUGCUGAUAUGAUAGAAGUGAGCUAUAUUGCAUAUCUUCAAUAUUCGAUAAAAGCUGAUUUUUCGAAAUUGUGAUUCAUGCAAGAUAUUUGUUAUCAUUCUCUACGUGAAUCCAUUAUUAUCGCUUUUUGAUUAUGACAAAAAGGGGGAGAAGUUAUGAAUAUGCAUAUGUGCUGAUUGGUUAAUAUUAUAUUAUCUAUGGCAUAAUAUUGAGCUGCGAUUAUUUUCUAAAUAUUAUUAUGCUCAAUUUAUUUGCUAUCUUCUGAUAUCCUUUGAUUUAAAUUAAAAGCAUGUUUACAAAUCUGCAUAUUCAGAGAUUGUUUUGUCAUCAUCAAAAAGGGGGAGAUUGUUAGGGAAAUCCCUUAUGAUGUUUUGAAGAUGACAAAAUAAAUCAAAGGCUACUAACAUGUUUGAUGGUUGAGUAAUAGACCAUGCAUAUGUUAGAACAUGUAGAGGAUAUUAUCAAAGUCAGAAGACGACCAGAAGACUGAACGUAACAUGUUCAAAAUAUAUUCUGAAGAUUUCCAGACUUCUGUGUCAAAGUCUAAAGACUGCCAGACUCAAGACUCAAAGUCUGAAGACUGCUAGACUUUAGUGUCAAAGUCUGUUCUACAUUAGAAGUCUGCUCACUCUGAUAAAUUCCAGACUGAACGUGAAAGCUGAACCAGAAGACAGACUCUAUGCUGAAGCUGAACUGGGUACAGACCCAGAUUGUAAAGUCUAGAGACUCAGAUUGUAAAGUCUAGAGACUCAUAUUGUAAAGUCUACAGACUCAGACUUUACAUCCAGAUUCGAUGAAUCGUAACUCAAGCCCAAUCAUACAACGGCUAGUGAUCUGGUUUGGAUUCCACAUCAAGAUUGAUUUGAUUGAUUCAAUCUAAUUGAUUGACGAUUGGAUCUUGAAGACAAGAACUUUCUACACAAAGAAGCUUUACUUAUGGAAACCAAGAUUUCAUUUGUAUGGAUGAUCGGAAUCAAUUUGGGAUUUUACCUUUGUCACUCAACGGCUACCAAAUCUUCUUAGAUACAGAGCUGUCCAAUGGGUAUAUUGGAAGACGAUUCUCCGGGAUACUGUCCAACGGGUAGUUUCGAAGUGGAGGAGUAUUUAAGGAGAUCAUGGACCGAUGAGCAAGUAAGAGACGGAGCGUAGAAUUUAUAAUUCCAAAGUCUGAGCGACUUUUGAUCAUAUACUUGUCUCUUGAGAGCUUAAACGUUUGUAAUCGUGAGAGAAAUACCAAGAGAGUGACUUAGUGAGAUAGUGUGAUCUACUAAGUGUUUGCACUCGAAGUUGUAAUCUCUUGUUGAUUGCAUAUUGGAAUCCAGCCAAGAAGGCUGUUAUCGUGGGAGAGUGGACGUAGGCUUGGAUUAAGCCGAACCACUAUAAAUCUCGUGUUCUUAUUCUCUUCCCUAACUCCUUUAUUUUGUUCAUACUAGCACUCUCACCAGGGAUCCGUCGCGAUCGGUGUUAGGGAAAUCCCUUAUGAUGUUUUGAAGAUGACAAAAUAAAUCAAAGGCUACUAACAUGUUUGAUGGUUGAGUAAUAGACCAUGCAGAUGUUAGAACAUGUAGAGGAUAUUAUCAAAGUCAGAAGACGACCAGAAGACUGAACGUAACACAUGUCCAAAAUAUAUUCUGAAGAUUUCCAGACUUCUGUGUCAAAGUCUGAAGACUGCCAGACUCAAGACUCAAACUCUGAAGACUGCCAGACUCAAGACUCAAAGUCUGAAGACUGCCAGACUUUAGUGUCAAAGUCUGUUCUACAUCAGAAGUCUGCUCACUCUGACAAAUUCCAGACUGAACGUGAAAGCUGAACCAGAAGACAGACUUUAUGCUGAAGCUGAACUGGGUACAGACCUUAAAGCUAAAUCUGUUCAGAAGCAGAUAUGUUCAGACCCAGAUUGUAAAGUCUAGAGACUCAGAUUGUAAAGUCUAGAGACUCAUAUUGUAAAGUCUACAGACUCAGACUUUACAUCCAGAUUCAAUGAAUCGUAACUCAAGCCCAAUCAUACAACGGCUAGUGAUCUGGUUUGGAUUCCACAUCAAGAUUAAUUUGAUUGAUUCAAUCUAAUUGAUUGACGAUUGGAUCUUGAAGACAAGAACUUUCUACACGAAGAAGCUUUACUUAUGGAAACCAAGAUUUCGUUUGUAUGGGCGAUCGGAAUCAAUUUGGGAUUUUACCUUUGUCACUCAACGGCUACCAAAUCUUCUAGAUACAGAGCUGUCCAAUGGGUAUAUUGGAAGACGAUUCUCCGGGAUGCUGUCCAACGGGUAGUUUGGAAGUGGAGGAGUAUUUAAGGAGAUCAUGGACCGAUUAGCAAGUAAGAGACGGAGCGUAGAAUUUAUAAUUCCAAAGUCUGAGCGACUUUAGAUCAUAUACUUGUCUCUUGAGAGCUUAAACGUUUGUAAUCGUGAGAGAAAUACCAAAAGAGUGACUUAGUGAGAUAGUGUGAUCUACUACUAAGUGUUUGCACUCGAAGUUGUAAUCUCUUGUUGAUUGCAUAGUGGAAUCCAGCCAAGAAGGCUGUUAGCGUGGGAGAGUGGACGUAGGCUUGGAUUAAGCCGAACCACUAUAAAUCUCGUGUUCUUAUUCUCUUCCCUAACUCCUUUAUUUUGUUCAUACUAGCACUCUCAAUCGGGCCGGCCAUCGAAGAGGCGGAUCCCCCGGCGGCAGCUGGCCCAGGCGCCGGCGACGCUGUUCGAGGCGAUCGCGACACUGGCGGAGACGCUCCGGUUCACGUACUCGGAGACCCUGGGGAAGUGGCCGAUCGGGGAUUGGCGUUCGGGAUCAAGUAUCUGAUGAGAAGGCAUGUAAAUGGGGCUUCGUCUCCCGGGGUAUUGGCUGGGUAUCGAUUGUUUUAGGCAUGUUCCCGUUAUGGAAUUCGGCGUAACUCGGUCGCUUGGUCUUGGAUUAGUGUGGUUCAGCUAUAGAAUGAUGUCUUGUAUAGUGUGGCAAGACGAGCCUUUUAAUCAGUGUCUUGGCUACUGACAGUUAUCCGUCACGGAUUGGGAAUGUGACCGCGCGGCGACAAGGCACUUUUGGACUGUAGAGAAAUAAAGCUUAUAGAGAGAGAGGCUUGGAGAGAAAGUAACUUGUAUUACUGAACUGAAUUAUUUUUCAUCUUUUGGGUCCAUAAAAAAGUGAUGAGGUAUUUUGCGGCAAGCGGUGAUCUUAACAAAUUCUAAACUGAAUUAUGUCAGUGGUAUUCUAAAUUAUGCAACUUAAAUUGUGCGGCUUAUUAAGAAAAUUAAAUUCCGUCAGCCUUCAUUUUGCUCCACUUAUAGAUGAUAAGACGACAGGGAGGAUAUUUUUUUUUCCCGAUGAUUUUGCGAGACACGGGAAAUUGUGGUUGGAUUCGCAGCUCAGAAUCAUUAUAGGGAAGAUUGAGACGUGCAAUCUACCACUGUGGGGAUCGUCAUAUCUCUCCAAAAAUUAAACUCCAGAAAUCUAUAAUGGAAAAUGAAACUAUUAAUUACGUUUGAUUAGUAAAUUAGUAAAUUACAGGUGAUGAUUAAAUAUACAAUUAAGUGGAUAUCUAGUUAAUUACAAAUUGUAGUGCAGUAACAACAAAUGCGUGUUGGACACCGAAUUAAGAAGUCUUCCAAUUUCAUGAUCAUGGCUGUCAAGUGUAUUUCUUUAGAAAUUAUAGUGCUAUGUCAUUACAGCUUAACCAUUAAUACACUUGGAUAUGAUGUGUAAUUUGGUGGGUUGCUAAAUUAAUCAAAAAUCAUGUAAGAAUCUCCCAAAAUUCAACUGUGAGAAACUCCCAAUAUUAUUUCAUUCAACUGUAAGAAUCUUACAAGAGUCUCUUAAAUGAUCGAAUCUCAUCUAUAAGAUUAGUGUAUUGAUGCAAAAUGACUAGGGUUCUUUUUUUGCAUAAUAACUCAAGGGCGAUGUGGAGGAAGGAAUGCACGAACGUAUAAACUGACGUUUUGUUACCAGGGUCAAAUUCCACCGUAACCAGCAGAUUUGAUUUUGGAACUGAUUUUCAUUAAAAAAGAAAAAAGAAAUGCAUGAUGAACUUGCUGGCGAAAUAUAGGAGUUAACACGGGAUGAUUUGUUGAUUUGAAUGAUCAAAAAAUCAAUAUAGGAAACAUGAAAAUGAAAGCGUGAUGAGUCAAUUAUGAGAACUCUUCAAUCUGAUAUUAAAACAUCAACGAUUCCAAUGGAAAUUUAUUAAUCACACCCAGAAUUACCAUUCGCACUCAAAAUUACAAUAGAGCACGCUUGCAUACCCCUUUUCGUGACAGAUGAGGGAAAAGACAGCAAAAUGACCCAUGACAGAAAUGGCACAAGAAGUUGCAUUUUAAACAUAGACAUUAGGGUUACCCAAUACGUACUCUUCAACGACUUUGUAGAGUCCCAUAGCCUUUUCUUUGCCUUGCUUGAUAUCAUCUUCGUUAAGCUCCACAUCCCCUCUUGUGUGGUACUCACCAAUCAUCUUGCAAAGGCAUCUACCAACGCUCGAAGCCAAGAAUUGAACCUCAUACACAAUCGAUUCGAUCUUGUCAAAUAUCACGUCACCUUCAAUCAAAGUGUACUUACAGACCAAGUUCUCAGUGUAGAGAGCAUCGAUUUUGCGCUUCGAGAACUUUAAGUGACCACCUAUAAUAUUUAAGGUAUAUUAACUAGCAUUCUAUAGAAGGUAUAUAUAUAUAUAAAGAGACAUCCAUAUAAUUGUGAAACAAAUGGGACUCUUUGAGCAUCAUUAUAAACUAACCUUUAGCGAAGUUGGUGACUUUAAUACUUCCCGCUCUUCCAUCUCCUUCAACAAACUCGAUGCUCUUAAUACCCAAAGGGGCAAUCUUGGGAAUCAGGUAGUGAGAAUCAACAAUCAAAGCCCUGAACAACAUUCUAGAUGGAGUAAUGGGAGUGGUGAAUUCUUGGGUAAAGGUGGUGACACUCAUGAUUUUGUCUUGGGAGAGGAAAGGAAUCGAACCAGAAAUUUGUGGAGAAUAAGAAGGAAUAUACGUAAGCGCUUUUUAAUAGCGGAGGAACUUGAAUUUGAUGCAGAAGAAGGAAGGACCGAGGAGCUAUUUAUACUCGUAGCUUUUAGACCUUCUUGAAAUGGAAGCAUAGAUACCUCCGCGGUGGACCUACCGGUCAAAGGACUCAACUCAAUCCAACUCUUUCUCCAAUUGUUGACGUGGCGCACGUUUUUUAUUUAUAUCCAAUAAUAGAUCGACAUGUGUUGGAUGAGGUGGAAUAAAAAAUAAAAAUCUUUUUUUUUUUUUUCAACUUCCUGCACCACCCACUCUUCUCCUCUCCUCUGCAAAUCGUUUCUCGGCCAUGGAUGACACGGCCUCCUCCUCCUUCCGGCCACUGCCUGCCCAGCCACUUGAGAAACCGGUGCGGCUGUCUCCACCGCACAAGCCAGAGGAUCUAGAUCUGGAACCGCGGAACCAUGGCCGCGUUCUUGACAGAACUUGAAGCCAUGGCCACACAACAGACCUUGGAGCCAGAUCUGUCGUAGUUAUGGCGUCACAGACUAGGCCGGCCCUCGCCAGAUCUGGGCGAGGGAUGGCCUCGUCAAGACUUGUUCCAUCAUUUUUGAAGGCUCAACCAUGAUUAGAGGUGUUAAAAUGGGUCAUAAACCCAUAUAUAACCCAUUUAAAUCAUAAAUGGGUCACUUGUUUUUGACAAAAAGUAGUUAAAUGGGUUUCACAGUUAAAGGUUCAAGAUAGGUGGGUCUUAAGUAGAUUUUAAAUGGGUUGGAUGGAGAACCCAUUUUCAACAAAAACCUUAUAAUCUCUCUCUACCCUCUUUAACUUUAUAAAAAUAUUUUUUUUUGUAAAAAUCGAAAUUAUAAUUUUUUUAUUUUAAUUUUCUCUUUUUUUUUUCUUUCUCCUUCCUCCUUCCGGUCGUCGGCACGGCGAUGGCCGGCGACCGGCCAGGCGAGCCUCGAGCUCGCCGGCAUUCGGCGAGCUUGAGCUCGCCAUAUUUGGCUAGGGGGAUGCCUCACCGACACCCGGCGAGGCUCGAGCCUCGCCAGUUCCGGCGAGAGGCAAGCUCGAGCUCCCCCGACACCGGUGAGCCUCGAGCUCGCCGGAUCUGGCAAGGCAAAGUUUAUAUUCUUUACUUUUGAAUCCGAACACGAUGCCACCAUCCACCUCGAAAUCUCAUUCAUCCCUCCCUUUCGUUCGGCCGGCAGAGAUGAAAAAUUGAACGCAACUCAAACAUAGGCCUUUAAAAAAAGAGAGAGAAAAAUUCACAUGUUUUCUUCGCGCAGAUGAAAACAAAAGAGGGCAAAUCGGCUGCUCUAAGCAACAAAAGUCUCGUGACUCUUUUCAUAGCAUUACAAUGUUACAGCGCUAGCGCGAAAAGAGCCUUGGCUUGCUAAAUCCUGGACCAGCCCCAUCUUUCAGCCACAAGUUCUUUGUACAUCUUCCUUGAUUGGCCACUCUCAUCUCAUCUCAUCUCUCUCUCUCUCUCUCUCUCUCUCUCUCUCUCUCUCUCUCUCUCUCUCUCUCUCUCUCUCUCUCUCNNNNNNNNNNNNNNNNNNNNNNNNNNNNNNNNNNNNNNNNNNNNNNNNNNNNNNNNNNNNNNNNNNNNNNNNNNNNNNNNNNNNNNNNNNNNNNNNNNNNUUCGUGGCACGCAUUCUCAGCCAAAAGCAAGAGGGGGGACAUUUCACGUAAUGGUAAAGGAAAUUUAAUGAUCCUUUAUUUUCUUCUUGUGGAAUAACUUAAUUUUAAAAAGUCAUUUUAUCAAAAAUGAAACUUUUUUUCUUCUUUAAUAAAAAGUGGAUAUUGUGGAUUAGUAAGAAAAUGAGAAAAUUGAUUGCGGAUUCUCAAUCUUUUUUUUUUUCACGGAUUCUCAAUCUUUGAGAUCAAUAUAUCUAAUAAAUUUGCUCUUCUUUUAUAACUAAUCUCUGUAUGAGAGCUGACUACCGAUCUAGUGAGCCCGACUACGAAGUUCUGACUCCACUAGAAUCAAAGCAUGAAAUGGACGAGUUUAGAUAAGUUAAUCCCUUUUUGGUUCGAUUUGAUUAGACAAGGUCCUUUUCGAAAAGAAAAAGUUAAUUUUUUUUAAUUUAAAACUGAUGUAGACAUGAAUUUUACGCUUGAUAUCAGAUAUAUUGUCCUUCCAUUCUCGAAAGGCAAUUUUGCUAGUUUGACUUUUCAAAGGUCAUUAUAGCCACAUCAUCGAAUCCAAAUGACUGUCGGAUUGUAAUAGUGUUGGCAUCACGGUCUCACGGUGUGAGAGUCAAAGAAUGUCCACACAAACUUCCUUUCUCAAACACAAGCACAUGGAAGUUUCCAAGCAAGAUACAAUUCUCCCUCUCUCUCAUCCGCAAUGUGUGGUGACAGUCAAAGGAUGUCCAUAAAAAUUUCCUUUCUUAAUUACAAGCACAUGGAAGUUUCCAAGACACGGUUCUCCCUCUUUCUAGUCCACAAAGACAAGUCUCUCUAGUGCUACAUUCUUUUUCUUUGAGAAAUCUCAAAUAGAGACCCAAAGUACCCUCAUUUCUCAAAGAUACAUAAAGUGAAGUCUAUCUCAAAUAAGGACCCAAGUGGUCAUUUAGUCUCAAAGAAGGGCCUUACUCGCCAGUCGGUGAAUAGAUGCAUCUCUGAUGCAUAUUCCAAUAGCCUAAUUAGGGUAUUUUGGUCUUCUUCUUUCUUUUCUUUUUCUUUUUUGAUUGUCCUAUUCAUCGUCUUCUUCAUCCCUAUUCAUCUUCUUCUUGCCCAGAUCAAGAACACUGGACUUGGAGAAAGGCCGGCGAGCACUAGCUAUUGGUAAGGGCCUAUGAGGACUCGACGCCCAUUGCUAGGGCUAAGCGAGCCCCCACUAUUGGCAAUGGGGGUCGAGCCCUCGUUGGCCCUUCCCAAGUCUAAUGUUCUUGAUCUAGGCAAGAAGAAGCCGAACAGGGGACAAAGAAGAUGAUGAAUAGCACAAUCAUUAACCAAAAAAAUAAAUAAAUAAACAGGACAACCGAAAAUGAAAAAAGAAUUUUUUUUGGACAAAAAUACCCAUGAUCGGGCCACCGGAAUAUGUAUCGGAGAUGCAUCUGUUCACUGGUCGGUGAGUGAGGUCCUUAUUUGAGACUAAAUGAUCAUUUUUUGUCUUUAUUUGAGACAGACUCCACUUCAGGUCGUCUUUUGAAAAAAUGUAGGCACUCUGGGUCCCUAUUUGGGAUUUUUCCCUUUUUCUUUUGUAACAUUCUGCUAAGUUCUUUUCUACUUUUUAUUUUGUCUUAGAUGGAGACUUCUUGACAAAACAAAGAUUAUCAUUAGAUAACUGCCGGCAAAAGAACGCUUCAAGUGCCAUAACUUUGGCCAAAGGGACACUUAAGUGCCAUAACUUACGAAAGGUACACUUAAGUGCCAAAUUCGAAAAAAAACGGAUCACUUGAGUGCCACUCCGGCCAAAGUCCGACCAAAACGCCAAUGUGGCGUAUUUCCGGUGAAGCGCGCCCAAAACGACGCCGUUUUGCACGCUGACGUGGCCAAAACGGCGUUGUUUUGGGCCGACGUGGCAAAAAGAAAAUUAAAUAAAUUAAUUUUAAAAUUAAAUUUAGUUAAAAUAUUUAAAAAUAAUAAUUUUAAAAUUAAAUUUAUUUAAAAUAUUUUAAAAAACUUUAAAAACCUUUAAAAAUAUUUUUAAAAAAUUAAAAAAAAUUUAAAAAAAAAANNNNNNNNNNNNNNNNNNNNNNNNNNNNNNNNNNNNNNNNNNNNNNNNNNNNNNNNNNNNNNNNNNNNNNNNNNNNNNNNNNNNNNNNNNNNNNNNNNNNUAUCAAAAAAUACAGUAAAAUAAGAAUUCAAAAAAUUAGGAAAAAAAUUUAAAACUUGGAUUUUGAGUAGUUUUACUAGAGUUAAUGUUAGAGGGGUUUAGAAUUAGUUUAGCAUAAAAAUGUGAAAAUAUUGUGAUGAAAAUUGAAUUCAAAAUUGAAUAAGCUUUUAAGCCAAAUCCCUCCCCAUCCCCCACCCCGUUUGGAAGGAUGUUUUCACGGGUAAAAAAAGCGAGGUGCAUCCAAGCCACUCAAUGCUUUCAAAGCCACCAAUGAUAGAAAAAUCCAAGGCGUGAUGACGGUUCCACGACGGAUUAACUAAAUUUAAUUUUAAAUUAAAUUAAAUUAUUUAUUUAUUUAUUUUGUUCCACGUCAGUCGAAACGACGCCGUUUUGGCCAUGUCAACGUGCAAAACGGCGCCGUUUUGGCCGCGCUUCGCCGGAAAAACGCCACGUUGGCAUUUUGGCCGGAUUUUGGCCGAAUUGGCACUCAAGUGAUCUCUUUUACUCCGAUUUUGGCACUUAAGUGUACCUUUCGUAAGUUAUGGCACUUAAGUGUCCCUUUGGGCAAAGUUAAGGCACUUGAGAGGUCCGCACGUCGAUAACUGCCUGGCAGGCUACUACCUUACUUUGGCCAGUCAAAUUUUCUCCAAUUUCUAUUAUUUUUGUUUGAACAAAUUUAUCCAUAUUAUUUGGCAAGAUGGUUCUAAUAAAGAAAUGUGUAUUGAAAAGCCCAAAUUUUCCCUACACUUCAUCUGUCUCACUUUUUCUUUUGAUGAGAAAAUGCAAUUGAAUCAAAAAACCUAUUAAAAGACAAUCAAAUAUUAAAAUUUAUCAAAUUGGUACAAUUAGGUCUCUCCGUUAAUUCUAUCUAAUUUUAUAAAGGGAAUAUGUCCAUGACUUUUUUUUAGAAUUUAAUUUCUCAAAAUACACGGAGCCAACGUGGUUUUUAACCCUUCCUUUUGAUUUACUAGUAUAAUAGUUUUGGUCUACUAUAAUAAUAACACCUUAUUAUGAGCCACAAAUUCUUAAAAAAGUGAACCCCACAAUAAUUUAUGAUUAUUUGUUAAUUAUUUUUUGUGGUAUAAAACAUUCUGUUAUUCCCACGCUAGUUUAGUGAUGACCCAAUCAUUUUUUUUUUCCUUCUCUCCAUUUACAUGCCUACUCUUGUUACUGCUCAUCUUCUUCUCAACGCGAGUUCAACCACGACCGUGAUUAUCAACGGUGUUUGCCCACCAAUCAAGCCUCCAAAGGAACGUCACCACCUUCAUCAAUCCCACCCUGACAGUCGACAGCCGCCGGCAUCGCUUCCAACAAGUCCGAAUGAGAUCCCCUGGUUUGGACUCACCAUUUUUGGAGCUCCAAGCAGCCAUUUUUCUUGGCUACGACACUUGUCGAGCUGUUUCUAGAGCGUCGUAUGCUCAUUCCGUGCCCCAUCCGAUGCAUACUAAGACCUGAGAGCCCCUAUUUUCGCGCUUUUGCGAGCUUCGCGUCCCUGGCCGGCAACCUAUGCCACGGCAGUGCUUCGGCCCUGUGUUAACACCCUUGACAACCCAAGCACAUUUAUGCCUUUCCGAAAUCGACCGGGACCAACCCCUUCCGUGGCUCUGCUCUGUUUCAACACUCACCGUCUUUGAGAGCAGGAAGUCGCCUUUCUCGCUUCACGGAAGUGCUCGUGCCAAGCGCUUCGCUAGUUUGCACGUUAGACAGUUCAAGUAAGCCACUUCAGACCCCAAAAAAAAAAGUAAGCCACUGAUUCAGUUUAUUUCACCCUUUUGGUGACCGAGAAGUCCUGGCUAAGCUAGAGCACGAGAGCCAAGGUGCUGCCGCCCAAAGAAGCAUUGGCAGAUUUUCCUUCUCUGUUUCUUUGGUCAUUGGAUUCUGCUCUCGGUGGAUUCAAAACCUUUUUUCUGGGCAAUUUUCUUUAUUGUUCUCUUCUGUUUGCGAGAUCCAAAGAUUGUAAACUGUCAUAGGUGGGUGGAUUUUCAAGAAGGAAUUGAGGAACUUGGAUCCCUCUCUCUCAUGCUGGAUGAGUUCUCAGGUUUCCUGCUGAAACAUGUCUCUGUUUUUUUUUUUUUGUAUAGUGUGACGCUGGGGCUUAUUAUUUCUUUCCCAAUUAACCCAAAACAGCUCGUUGAAUUUUGUAGUGUCUACUCUAGCUAGAUUUCCUGAUCAUUUGUCACUAUGGAUUGAUACGAGAAUGUUCCCUUUAUACUGUUCGCUAUUGUUGACGUGAUUCUUCUUGUUAUCCCAUCUCCACAAAGAGAUUGAAAUUUUCACUUACAUGCUCCAGGUGAAUCCUUUGAUUGAUUGUAGAUUCUACCAUGAGAUUAAUUGUAUUUGGAACAUAGAGCGUUGAAUCUUUUUCUCUCUUUCGGGUGUUCCUCAAUCAAAUACUCAAAAUCAAUUCAUUUAGGAACAUAUCCUAAAAAUCCACAAUUAAAUCAAUUCGGUACAAACCAAAGCUCAAAUAAAUAAACAGACCAUGCCACGACAAUCAGCAUGAAAUUCCGGUCACCGGUCAUCCCGGUUGAAUUUUUGAAAAAUAAAUAAAUAAAUAAUUAAUUAUUAAAUACUAAGAAAUCCAAUUUAGGCCCGUAUUGCCUAAUUGGAAGCUGGAACAGACUGGGAAAAAUCUCGAGGUUCCUUCAAUAAAUAAUAGAACAUUUCUACUUGCUAAUGACUAUGUCUAACCACCUAACAUGCAUUGGUAAGUCACAAAUUUAAUUAAUCUAAACUAAUCUAACCUCAUAAUCAUGUUUAAUUAACAUUAAUCAAUCAUUAAUCAUCAUUAGCAAACUAAGCGAGGUUUAGUGAGUUAAGCUCACCCGUUUAACAAUUCGUUCAGAUCAAAACGUCAGGAAUGUCGCGGGGGAUGUUUUUCUCCAAAGAGGGCCUAAGGUACGGGGCUCGGAAACACCUCAGAACAGUCUCCAAAUGCUAUUAGAAACCCACUUCUAAACCUUCUAUUUUAGCUGCAAAAAUAGAAGAAAACCAACUGAAAUGACAAGGCAAGGCUCUGGAAAGGCAACGGGGACGGUCUUAGGUCCAAACCGAGACAAACCGACGGUGGAGGAGGCUCCGGCAGUGGUUGGCAUGGCUGGACGACAAGCUAGCCGGUUGAAACAACAAGCUGGGUGGCGUGAGGGGGCGAGAAUGGGCGGAUGGCGUGCAGCUGGUGGCGCGCGCAGGCGGUGGUGUCCAAGCGUGUAGCGGGUGGCUCUCCAGCGUGCGGUGGCUACAUCUCCAUCUUGCUGCCGGUGGUUCGAAAAUGAGGAGGGAGAGAAUUUUGGCCGGUCGAGAGAGAGAGAGAGAGAGAGAGAGAGAGAGAGAGAGAGAGAGAGAGAGAGAGAGAGGGAGAUGAUAGAAAGAGAUAAGGGUGGAGGGGCCCUAUGCCUUCAUUUUCCAUAAAAAUAUCUCUUAAAACUUAUCAUAGGCCAAGUAUAAUCCCUUGGCUGUCCGUAGGCCACCAAUGCCUCCUUCUUGGACAUGUGAGAUGGUCCAAAAUGCCAGGGGGAAGGGGGCACACGAAUUUGACACAUUUUGGCUUAAAUUGGACAUCAAUUCUCUCUUGACUCACUCUUAAUUGGCUCUCAUAAAGUCAAUCCACCUACCAUCCGUCAUCUUAGCAUUUUUCCUCACCCAUGAGUCCAUCUCACAUUCCAAUUUUGCAAUAAAAAACAAUCACCGGCUUUUUCUGCACAAAAAUGAUCUUGCGACGACUUUUUCCCAAAAAGUGUUAGGUUGCAGAAAAAUCUUCUGAGACUGAGUCAACAUUCCUAGAAUUUAUUAUGAUAUGAUAGAAACUUUAAUUUCUGAAAUCGAACUUGAAUUCGUGGUUAAUUUCCAUUUGGCGCGUUUUUAGUGUGACCUAGGCCAUCGGAUAACUUUCAAAAAAAUUUAAGUGCAAAUAACUCGUGGUCAAUUUUCUUCGAGCCACAUUGAACCCACUCGACUCAUUGGUAACUCUCGGUUGUCGUGAACAUCUUGAUGAUUCAAAUACGGAUACAGGGUAUCAAAACAAUAAGAAAAUCAGUCUAGUACCAAUCGACGAGAAUAUUCCAAUUUAAUGGUAUCACCCACGAUUAGCCACACAUCUUUAUCAAACCGGUCUAUCUCUAAUUUUAAAUCGAUUUUUAACUAUACCGUAAUGGCUUCUAAAGAUGGACAUGGUUGAGAAGCCGAUUCUUGGUCAAAUUCUCAAAUCUAUUGCUUUAAAAUUUCUUAAUGAUUUCCCCAAAUAGUCUAGUUAUCUCAAGAGUGAUCAGCUAUUCUAGGCACAUCAAUGAAAUGUUCGAUUUAUUCAGUAGAAAGCAGGAUUGAAAAUUUGAGAUGUCACAACUCUUCCCCUCUUAUAAAAAUUUCGUCCUUGAAAUUUAAACAAUUACAAUAUUUAAGCAAAAAGGUGGGGGUACAAUUCUCUCAUUGACCCUUCAGUCUCCCAUGUCGCUCCUUCAGUACCGUAGUGUUGCUAGACCACUUUGACCAACGGAAUGGUCUUUGUACGCAGCACUUGUUUCUUUCCAUCCACAAUCUGGACCAGGCUUUCUACAUAUGACACUUGGUCAUGCACGUCCAAUUCCUCAAAAUUGAGCACGUGAGUCAAGUCAAGCUCAUACUUCCUUAACAUCGACAUGUGAAAGAUAUCAUGCACUUGCGCCAAUCUCGGCGGCAACGCAAGACGAUACACUAGGUUCCUAAUUCUCUCGAGAAUUUCAAAUGGACCUACGUACCUCAGACUCAGUUUGCCUUUCUUUCCAAAGUGCGAAGUUCCCCUCAUUGGUGACACCUUUAGAAAAAAAAUAAUCACCAACUUGGAAUUCUAAUUAUCUCCGGCACUUAUCUGCGUAACUUUUCUGUCUGCUCUGUGCGGUCUUUAAUCUGCCUCUGAUUAAUGCCACGGCAUCCACUGACCACUGGACCAACUCUAGGCCCGUAAUCUUCCUUUUCCCAACUUUAUCCCAACACACUAGUGUUCUGCACACUCUACCAUACAACGCUUCAAAUGGAGCCAUAUGAAUGCUUUGUUGAUAACUAUUAUUGUAUGCAAAUUCCACCAGGUGAAGCUGAUCUUCCCAAUUUCCUUAGAAGUCUAGUACACAAGCUCUCAGCAUGUCUUCAAGGUCUGAAUUAUCCUCUCAGACUGGCCAUCCGUCUGAGGAUGAUAUGCUGUACUGUACUGAAACUUUAAACCUAUAGAGCACUUUACAAGCUUUUCCAAAAAGCAGCUGUAAAUCUUGGGUUUCUAUCUGAGGUUAUCGUAACUGGCAUUACAUGCAUUCAAACCACCUAACGCAUGUAUAGGUCUGCGUGCCUAUCUAGAUUGAGGUCUUUUCGAACUACAAUGAAGUGAGUCGACUUUGUCAAUCUAUUGACUACCACCCAAAUUAAAUCAUUUCCUCUUUGACUCCUUGAUAGUCCAAUCUCGAAAUCUAUUGUGAUAUGUUCCCAUUUCCAUUCUAGGAUCGCGAGAGGUUGUAGAAGUCCUCCCGGGUUGCAAUGUUGAGCUUUAACAAGCUGACAUGUCAAACACUUGGCGACAUGCUUAGCGAUAUCCACCUUCAUACCCGACCACCAAUUGUAUUGAUGUAGAUUCUGAUACAUCUUAGUGCUUCUAGGAUGAAUACCGUAGCUGCUACGAUGUGCUUCAAAUAAAAUAUAUUUUCGAAGCUCCACAUCAUCAGGCACAACCAAACAUCCUCGGAACCUUAGUGUUUCGUCACUAGAGAUCUGAAAAUCAACAUUUCUUUUCUCAAUGUCCUCCUGAAGAAUUUUCUAUACAUUUGGAUCUGUCGAUUGGAGUAAUUUGAUCCUGACUUGGACAUUCGGUUUAAUUCUGAGGAUAGCCAUAAGACUUGAAAGGUGGCCUACCUCAAACUUGAAGACCGAAUCUCGAGUUCUUUCGAUUAAGUUCCACUCCUUAAUCAGUAUAUGUGCUACUAAAGACUUUUGACUCAAAGUAUCGACGACCUUGUUCGCCUUUCCUAGGUGAUAUAGAAAAUCACAAUCGUAGUCUUUUAGCAAUUCCAUCCAUCUGCAUUGUCUCAUAUUCAACUCCUUCUGAGAGAAUAGGUACUUGAAACUUUGAUGGUUCGUGAAGAUCUGGAAUUUUUCCCCACACAGAUAGUGUCUCCAAAUCUUCAGAGCAAAUAUAAUUGUCGCAAGCUCUAAGUCAUGUAUUGGGUAAUUCUGCUUGUGGGUCCUCAACUGAUGGGAGGUGUAUGCAACAACUCUACCAUGUUGCAUUAACACGCAACCCAACCCUCUGAAUGACGCAUCACUGUAGAUCUUGAAUCCUCCAAGACCAAAUGGAAUUGUCAAUACAGGUGUGGUAGUCAGCUUUUCUUUCAGCUCUUGGAAACUACUCUCACUUGUCUGUCCAUAUGACCUUCUCGUCUUUCUUCAGGAGUUUUGUUAGUAGCGAUGCUAACGAUGAAAAUUCUUCCACAAACCGUCUAUAAUAACCUGCCGAACCCAUAAAACUUCUUAUCUCUGUCACUGUAGUUGGUCUUGGCCAAUUGAUCAUGGCUUCUAUCUUGCUCAAGUCUACUAAAAUUCCUUCACCUAAGAUCACAUGUCCUAAUAAAGUAACAUGAGUCAACCAAAACUCGCACUUGCUAAACUUAGCGUACAUCUGAUGGACUCUUAGCUUUUGCAUCACUAAUCUCAAAUGAUUCUCGUGCCCUUCGUCACUUCGCGAGUAUACCGGGAUAUCAUCGAUGAACACGAUCACAAAUUGAUUUAGGUAUUCCUUGAAUACUUUGUUCAUCAAAUCCAUGAAGGCAGCUAGAGCAUUUGUCAACCCGAAUGGCAUCACUGUGAACUCAUACUGACCAUAUUGAGUACGAAACGCUGACUUAGGAAUAUCAUCAUUCCUAAUUCUUAGCUGAUGGUAUCAUGUCCUUAAGUCAAUCUUCGAGAAUAUUAAUGCUCCUUGCAACUGAUCGAACAGGUCAUUGAUCCUUGGGAGGGGAUACUUGUUCUUAAUGGUUACUUGGUUGAGUUGUCGAUAAUCAAUACAUAAGUGUAACGAACCAUCUUUCUUCUUAACAAAUAGAAAUGGUGCUCCCCAAGGUGAUACACUAGGAUGAAUGAAUCAUUUAUCCAAUAAUUCAUGCAUCUGUACCUUCAGUUCAUUCAACUCAGAUAACGUCAUCCGAUAAGAGGCUUUAGAGAUUGGCUCUAUUCCGAGUGCUAGCUCAAUUACAAACUCAAUCUCUCUCUCAUGUGGCAAUCCUGGCAAUUCCUUAGGGAAAACAUCUGGAUAAUCUUGCACGACUAAAAUGUCUUCCAUUUUCAGUUUUUCAGCUCUUGUAUCCACGACAGUUGCCAGAUACCCUUGGCAACCCUCGUCUAAUAGACGAGUUACCUCUAGCGACGAGAUCAAGACAAUCGAGGGUCCUCCUCGACUUCCUACAAACUCGAAACUCACCCCCUAACGGUUCAAACUGAAUCGCUUUGCAAUAGCAGUCCAUUUUAGCUCUUUACUUGGUGAGCCAGUUCAUGCCAAUUAUUAAAUCGAAAUCAUACAUGGCUAGGACUAAUAAAUAUAUUUUCCCCACUCGUUCACCAAUCACUAACUUGCACCCCAAACAACCCAAAGCAACAAUGACUUUAUCUUUCAAGGGUGUAGAUAUGCAAAUUUCUGACUCCAAUAAUAUAUGACUGACUCUUAUCAACUUAACAUAUUGCUUAGCAAUGAAGGAGUGAGUUGCUCAUGGAUCAAAUGAAACAUAAGUAAGAUGGUCAUUGAGCGAAACCAUACCUGUUAUCAUGUCAGGCACAAAUUUUGCCUAACCCUGUGUAAUAGCAUAUAUGGUGCCCUAAACUGGAAGUCUUAGCUAUCCUCCCUAUGGCGCAUUCGAAGGGGUAUACCCUCUUAUCCGUCCCAUUGGCAGCAGCAGCGGUAGCUGCAAUUGUCCCUUUAGCUUCCUGGGAUAAUUUCUGGCUAUGUGGCCCUAUUGGCCACAUUCGAAACACGCACCCGACCUAGAUGGGCACGGCGUUGACCCAUGUCGCCUUCCACAGAAGCGACACAUUUCAGUCCUAUUACGCUUUGACCUACCAAAUCCACCAUUCUUGUUAGGCAGGACUGGGAAUUUGCCUCCAGGAACAGGCCUCUUUCCUAGGCGAAUGCUGUCUCUAUGAGAGCUUAACCUCAAUCCAUAUGAGGCGGCUCUUUCGUUCUGAUCUUUCUCGAUCUUUUGAGCUCUCCAUGUCAUUAUAAGUUCUCAGAUCCAAAGAGACCAGUAUGCUUCUCAAGUCUGGCUUGAAUCCAUCCCUAAACCUUCACCUUCUCACUUGAUUCGCCGGGUUCUCAAUCAGUUCUGGAGCAUACUGCGAAAGUUCAACAAAUUUCGCCUCAUAUUGGUCGACGGUCAGGGAACCUUGGCGAAAACGUUGAAACUCUGCCAUCUUCACAUCUCUAGUAGUCUCGGAGAAUUUUUUUCAUUGAAGGCUUCUAAAAAGGUGUUCCACUCUAGAACGACACCUUAUGGAAAUAUUGCUCCUCGAGUAGUCUUCCACCAAGUAUUUGUAACUUCCUCCAAUUGGUAAGUUGCAAGGACUACUUUCUCCGUUUCAUUGCACGUCAGUAGUGCAAAAGCUUUCUUCAACUUCUGGAUCCAUGAAGCAGUAGCUCUAGGGUCUCUUGUCCCAGUGAACUAAGGUGGAUUCAGCCUCAAGAAUUGUUCCACCAGUUUGUAAAUUGGUCUUUCGGCGACUACUAUUCCUAGCGAGCCUUCGACGUGUGCGGCGGCAGGAGUAGCAACAGGUGCGGUGAUAGGUGCAACAACAGCAACAACUACUUGAUUCAAGGUCUAUUGUGCCAUGACAUCCCUCAUGGCCUCUAGCACCUGCAUAAUCCCUUCUAUUCUGAGAUCACCAGGAGCUACUACCCCGGCAUCCACUACAAGUGGUGCCCCUCUACUUGCGCUAGCUUGAGCUGGCGUUCGACCACGACCUCCUCAAGUACCGACCCUAGUCAGUGCUCUACCCCGAGUCACGGCCCUACUGGCCCUCUUGGCAGGAGUUAUUGGCUCCUGAUUGCUCAUGGUGUACCUUUAAUCUACUAAUACCUGCUUCCAAUUUAACACCGAAUUAGAAACAGAGCGAUCCAAACAACAAGCAAUUCUAGCACUCAGCUAACACAAACAUGCACCAACAUGAAUUUAAAGGCCUCUCCUACUACUAUCCUAUGAACCAUUGCUCCUUAUCACUCAAAACUUGAACUCUGCUCUUAUACCACCAAAACGUGAUGUCACGCCCCGAUCCUCGAACGUGUACCCAUCCCUCACUUGGUCGAUUAAUAGCAACGUCCCAAAACACAUCUCCGACCCAUUCAUUUUAAUACGCAUACGGAAGCAUAUAAAUAAAUCCCUAGAUAAUAAAAUAAUGGGAUAGAAAAGUAGGGCUAUAUUUUUCACAACUGAAAAAUAACACAACCACACUUUUAUACAAAGAUAACCCCAUAGUAUAUAAUACAAUACUAUUUACAAGUCUAAUCUACUAUCCCUCUGAUCAAAACUCAAAGUUUGCAAAACAAGGUAGAGGUCUCAAUCUUCGUCGGGAUCAUACUCUGGAUCAUCUUCUAGAUCCUCUUCCAACUCCUCUUCCUCAAGGUCUUCUUCUUCAAACUCCUCCUCUUCAAGUUCCACCUCAGGGUCCUCCUCAAGCUCAUCCACCGGCUCGUCCUCAGGCUCCUCCUCCAUGGGUUCAUCCUCCUGCCACUCCUCCUGGUCCACGAUCUCACCAUCCUCUCCGUUCCAGUUGUCGUCAUCAACUGAGUACACGGGAGCAUGAGCUUCGUCCUCAAGCUUCGAAUCCUUAACAUCCACUACCGACCCAUCCUUAUAAUCGGCCGUUCCUUCUCCGAACGCCUCUUCCAGAACGUACAUAAGCACCUCGCCUUCCGGUAUAGAACCUUCUCUUCACCCAUUGAAGUAAUGACGGUACCAUGAUCAAUACUCAUGGGGCCUCAGGGCGUCCUGACCCACGUCAACCCAGACGGUCGACUUAACCAGUACAUACUCUAAUCCUUCCGGAUGAGGGUGUAUGUAGAAGUGGUAUGCUACCUCUGAAAUCUCUUCAGGGAUGCCAAAAUGCAUCAGAGGACGACGAGGUAGAGGUGCUGCCAUCUAAGGGCCUGAAAUAUUAUCCCACAAUGGGGUGAGACUACGUCUCAGCGAAUUCUACCCUCCUAAGACUCGAUUAGUAAACCAAUACACUAUGGGCUGCCUAAGCACACACGAGUCAGAGGACUUACCUUGGCCUCAGAUCCCACCUGCAAAUCAGUACAAUUCAUAAUAGGCACCCACUUGUUCAACACAGAUCGAACUAUCAAUCAAUCGACCUAGUCAAUUACAUGUCAAUCAAACCAUUCCUCGGUCAUUUCAAUCAGUACCAUACAUUCUCCACGAUGGAAUAUCUAGUUGUUGAGCCCACAUGCAUUCUCUAGGAUGACAUACCGAGUCUCCAAGCCCAUGUGCAUUCUCCAGGAUGACAUACCGAGUUUCCGAGCCCACGUGCUUUCUCCAAGACAACGUAUCUACUCAUCGAACCCACGUACAUUUUCCAAGGUGGAAUAUCUAGUCAUUGAGCUAACAUGCAUUCUUCGAGGUGAUGCAUCACGUCAUCGAGCCCACAUGUCUUUUCCAAAAUGCCAUACUUUAAUCAUUGGGUCCACGUGCAUUCUCUAAGGUGAUGCAUUAAAUCACCGAGCCCACGAGUCCCUUUCAAGAUGCCAUAUUCAAUCACUGAGCCCACUUGCAUUCUCCCAGGUGAUAUAUCGACUCACCAAGCCCACGUGUCUUCUCCAAGGUGAUAUAUAUCCUACCACUAUUCCAAUAUAAUAUGAUGCCAUUCUCCGCGAUGAUAUGCUUAAUCAUCGAGCCGGCGUAAUACUAUACAUAAUCAAUCCCAACUCCACAAAUUCCACUAUUCUCCGUGGUUCACCAAUUUAUUUUUGAUACUGACAACCGAUAUCCGGUUGUUCCUCAAUCAAAUACUCAAAUUCAAUUCAUUUAGGAUAUCCUAAAAAUCCACAAUUAAAUCAAUUCGAUACAAACCAAAGCUCAAAUAAAUAAACGGAUUGCACCACGACAAUCAAAAUGAAAUUCUGGUCACCGAUCAUCCUGGUUGAGUUUUCGAAAAAUAAUUAAUUAUUAAAAAUUAUUUAUUAAAUACUAAUAAAUCCAAUUUAUGCCCAUAUUGCCUAAUUGGGAGCUGGAACGGACCGGGAAAAAUCUCGAGGUUCCUUCAAUAAAUAAUAGAACCUUUCUACUUGCUAAUGACUAUGUCUAACCACCUAACAUGCAUUGGUAAGUCACUAAUUUAAUUAAUCUAAACUAAUCUAACAUGCAAAUCAUGUUUAAUUAACACUAAUCAAUCAUUAAGCAUAAUUAGAAAACUAAGCGAGAUUUAGUGAGUUAAACUCACCCAUUUAACAAUCCAUUCAGAUCGAAACGUCGGGAACUUCGCGGGGGAUGUUUUUCUCCAAAGCGGGCUUAAGGUACAAGGCCCGGAAACACCUCAAAACGGUCUCCAAAGACAAAAACUUCAAUUUCUGAAAUCGUACUUGAAUUCGCAGUUAAUUUCCACUUGGCGCGUUUUUAGCGUGACCUAGGCCACUGGGUAACUUUCAGAAAUUUUUGAGUGUAAAUGACCCGUGGUCAAUUUUCUUCGAGCCACAUUGGACCCACUCAACUCAUUGACAACUUUCGGUUGUCGUGAAAAUCUCGAUGAUUCAAACAUGGACACAUGGUACCAAAAUAAUAAGAAAAUCAUUUUAGUGCCAGUCGACAAGAAUUUUCCAAUUUAGUGGUGUAAUCCACAAUUAGCCACGCAUCUCUGUCAAACCAAUCUAUCUCUGAUUUCAAAUUGAUUUUUAACUGUGCCAUAAUGGCCUCUAAAGAUGAACACGGUCGAGAAGCCGAUUCUUGAUCGAAUUCUUAAGUCUAUUGCUUUAAAAUUUCUUAAUGAUUUCCUCAGAUAGUCUAGUUAUCCCAAGAGUGAUCAGCUCUGAGAAUAGUCCUAUAGGCGCGUCAAUUAAAAUGCCUGAUUUAUUCAAUAGAAAUUUGGAUUGAAAAGCUCCAAGCUAGAGCCAAAAAGAAGCAUACAAAAGAAAUCCCCUCAUGUUUCAAUAAUUACCACUUCGAAGGAUUUUAAAAAGACAAUUUAAGCACAAACAUCGAUUUUACCAAGAGGUACUCUGCAACUAUCUUGAACAAUCCCAUAGCCCUGUCUUUGCCCUGCUUGAUUUCAUCUUCCUUGAGCUCUGCCCCUUCCUUAACAUGACAGUCGUUACUCAUCUUGCAAACGCAUCCACCAUCAGUUGAUGUGCACUUCACCUCAUAGACAAUGAAGUCAAUUUUGUCGAACUUGAUUCCACUUUCAAUCAAAGUAUAUUUGUAGUAGAAAUUCUCAACCUCAAGAGUGUCAAUCUUGUGCUUAGUGUACUAGAUGAGAGCACCUAUUACAUGAAUUCACAAAAGUGAAAAGAUUAAUUUUUUGUUUUGCAUUCUAUAAAUGAAUAUGACACGAUAGAUAAACAUCCAUUAUCUGACUUACUUUCGCCAAACUUGGUAUGCUUAAUACUACCAACUCCACCAUCUCCCUCAAUGAAUUACUCUUGUGCAAGCCCUCGCUCGCUUUCUACAACUUAUUCGUUUUUUUGUUAAUUUUAUUUUAAAUAAUUUAGUUUUAAAUUUAAUUUAAUUAAUAUUAAUAUUAAAAUUCAAAUUUGAGGCAAAACGACGUUAUUUUGGCUCUUCGUCGACCCAGCUCUUAGGCGAGCUAUAUUAAUAAAUAAAAAAUGCCACGUAGGAUUUUCAGCCAAGGUUACCGAAUUUGGCAUUCAAGUGUUCUAAUUUUCAAAAAAAUGGCACUUAAGUAUAACUUUCGUAACUUUUGGUAUCUAAAUGUUCUCCGGUGCCAAAUUUUGAUACUUGCAUUGUACUUCUACCGCUAUAAAUCAACUUGACAUGGUAAAGCUAUGUGUUUGAUCCCACUCACUUUCCCCAACGUUAGUCUAUUUAAUGCUACCAACUCCACCACCUCCCUCAACGAACUCAACACUCUUGAUGCCCUCGGGGACUAUCUUGGGAAUGAUGUUGUGUGACUCAAGGACCAAGCAUCCUCGAUGGAGCAAUGGCAGAUGUGAACUUUUGAGAGUAGGUGAUGACUCAUAUGUUUGCCUUGUAAGAAUCAAAGAGAAAUGAACUUGAGAAGACAGUGGAAGGAUUUGGGUGAUUGCUAUUGAGGAAGGCUUGAGCUGAUGAAGACGAUGAAGAGAAGCGCUUGGUAUUUAUAGUUGGUUAGCUGUUCGAAGCACUCCAAAUUGGACUGAUCAGCCUUGCUUUAAGCCUUUCUUCCUUUCUCAUUGGGGCAGAGCCACCAGUAAUCUAGAAGAUUAGGGACGAGUUCAUUAUAGAUCAAACAUGAAGGACCAUAAUUCUUUGUUCAUGUCGUGUUCACUGACACGGUAGAGGCAGUACAAUCUAAAUUGGUGAUAUAAAUAGAGAUAUCAACUUCAUAGAAAUUAUUUAUCAUGCCGACAAUGUAUUCUUCUAUACAUCAAUUAUUCCAUUUAUUAAAUGUUCACGUUCAUCGAUUAAGAUUCUCUAGACAUUCAAUCAUGUUAACUACCAUAUUCUCAAGUCACUAUUGGAAUAAUUGGAAAUGUCCAUAUAAUAGUUCCAGGCUAUGAUAUUAUUUGUCAAGUAUCGCAUUAAAAGAUGUUUUGAUGUGAUAUGCAUUGAGGUACAACCAGAUUCUAAACCAUUCAAAAUUGAAAAUGAUGGGAUACAACGUGAAUAGUCACCUUCCACAUUAUAGCAUUAAAUAUUGGGAUGGAUAAGAAAUGUGAUUUUUCAAGGCAUGUCUAGAUUGACUUUCACUUAAUUAAUCUUUGCCCUGCAGACCAUUUGACUCUUGUUUAUACCUAAAAAAUUUAAAACUUUCACAACAUACAAAUGGGAAAAAUGGCAUCAGUAGUCCCAAAAAUUAUGCUAAACAUGAAACCAAAUCUUAAACAAUUGAAUUUAUGCAAUAAUUUUUUUUUUACAGGAUGUAGUGUGGUCCUUCUGAUGAGGUAAACGGUCAAAUUCGAUGAUCUUGCACGCAAGAAUCUAUCGUCGUAUUUUAAACUACUUGUUAGCAUACGUGGCACCACAUCAGAAAAUAUAUCAAACAUACAAAAAAUUAAAUUAAAAAAGGAAAAAAAGUUUGGAGAAAACAAAAAUCUUAAAAAUAAACUAGAUCAAGUCAGAGAGAGUGGAGGCGCCAUGGACGAGCGUUCCAUCUCCACGGCGCCGACAAGCGUCGGGAUAUUUUUCAAUAUUCAAACAAUACGACGAAUUUUGGCACGAAAAUAUAACGUGCAUUUUAUUUAUAUGUAAAUGUACACAAAUAUGCUUUCAAGUAAAAACAUUAAAACAAUCGUAAGAAGCAAGCGCGAGGAAACAAAACAUCCUUCAAUGCACAAUUUUAUACAUAUAUACAUACAUACAAUAUAUAUAUAUAUAUAUAUAUAUAUAUAUAUAUAUUUUGUAUGUAUGUAUAUAUGUAUGUAUGUAUGUAUGUAUGUAUGUAAAAGCUAAAGAGGAUUAAGUUAUUUUAAAAUGACUUGUCCGAUCGAAUUACAAUCUUUGAGUCGUAAAACCGUCAUUCUCGGGGACUCUCUAUUGAUUGUGGUUGUGCUAACAUCACAAAAUGCCCAAACGUUUGGUCUGCAGCUUGACCGACAAAAGAUUGUUAAGAUGGCAAUAGGAGGUGAAGAUUACUAAGUUUUGGGAGGGUUUAGCCGAUAAAGAAGACCGGGUCAGGUCGAUGGAGAUGUCAGCGGAAAGUGGCCAAGUGUGGGAGCAAAGAGUCACUAAAUGAGGCAGGUUAACUCGGUCGAUGGGAAAGAAUAUAAGAUGUAGCCGUCAAGUAGCGGGAUAGAUAAGUGUUACCGAAUAAUAGGAGGCACGGAAGGCAAUUUUUAAUUCUUGGUAGCUGUUUAUGUAACCAAAUGUUGUAGAUUUAGAGAGUCAAAGCGAAGCGAAUUCUUUGUAAAAAAAUUGCCAAUCUAUCCAAGACUACGUGUUCAUCUUCAGGUGAUGCCACCCAUCUUUGCCUUGAAACGAACUCAAGUAGGAAAUGGAAGGAUCUGGUUUGGUGUCAUAGAAGAAGGCUUUUGCUGAUGAAGAUGAUGAAGAGAAAUCCAUAGUACUUACAACCAUGGCAAGUCCAUAGUUCAGUACUACAUCAUCAUCAUUCAAAGUACAAAGCACUCCCAAUUGGGCCGGGCCGAACUACUUUCAAGCCUUUCUUGUUUUCCUAUUGGGAGGAGCCAAUCCAGAAGGUUAGGAAAGGACAAAUCACGAUCAAAAGCUCCUUUGUCUGGCCCCGAUUUGCCUGGAUACGAUCUUUCUCGUCAAGAAAAUUGAAUUUCCAUGCUAUGAACUGAUUUAGACACAAAUUUAAGCUUAUAACAGACAGCCAUGACCACCAUUGCUAAGGUAUAUUCUACGUUCGUUCGUUGCGCCAUCAAGGAUGGCCGCAGAGCGCUUUUGCUUUGUUUCUCUUUUCUUUUCGCUUUUGCUCUGUUUCCGAAGGGCAAUUUUACUAGUUUGACUUUUCAAAUGCCUUUGAUAGCUACGUCCUCGGAUCCAAAUCACCGUACUCUAAAUUUGGAUCAACCCACAAAAACAAAUGUCUCUCUUGGGACCCUUCUUUCCAUUUCAAAUUUUUUGCUAAGUUCUUUUCUACCUUUUAUUUUAUUUUAUUUUAUUUUGUUUCUAGCCAAAUUUUCUCCAUUUUGUUUGGCAUGAUGGAUUUAAUUAGGUAAACAAUCUCAAUGUUUGCUUUCAGGAUUUGCGAAGAAGCAUACUACAGCUUAAUUCAUCAAUUUUAAGUUGCAUAGUUAUGAUGAAUACAAUUAGCAGAAAAAAAUUAACAAAUCAAAUUGGAUUUAUUCAUUUUUCCCUCUAUCUCUUCUUUAUGCAAUUGAUCCAUAAGUCAAGUCAAAAUUCGCCUUCAUGACCACAAAGGGAGAUCUUUUCGUGGGUAAAACCCAUAAUUUAUUGAAUUAUUCAUUGCUCCUUCAAGUUUUAUUUUUGGCAUGGCCUUACACACAACCAUCAAAUCCCUUUAUAACGUAGAAAUCACACAAUGAAAACCUUUCAGCCAAAGGCUCCAAGGCAAAGUCAAUGUGAAAACAAAAGAUACAAUAGAGACAUUUCACCCACUUUGCUAUAUCAUAACUCAAAAAUGAUCUUCAGAAUAGCAUUUAGGCACAAACAUCGGGAUUGGCCACAAGGUACUCCUCAAUAGCCUUGUACAAUCCCAUAGCUCUGUCUUUACCCUUCUUGAUAUCCUCCUCCUUGAGCUCACAACCCUCUUGGACGUGGUACUCGC